AGUGUCAAAAGUAAUUUUUAUUUCAAUAGAGAGUUUGAUAAUUUAUUUUAUAAAAUCUGAUUCUAAUUUUUAGAGUCGGAAUUCUAAUUUUAGAGACCACAAAAUCUAAAACAAUUAAAACCUAUUUUUAAAAAUUUGAUCUUGAUUUUGAAUUCAAUUUUUAAAUUUACAUUAAUUUUGGAUUCGACUGCACUUUUUUUCUUUUGGAUUAGAUUUCCUUUGUAUUGAGCUGGUAUACUAUCGGUAGUACGGAGGCCUCCGUACUACCGAGUUGUUUUCAAUGAUACGGCUUCCAAAUCGACGAUCGGCUUUACUAGAUUUGAUCUACACUAUUGAAAGUAUUUGGAACUAAAUUUCAUAAUUUUUCGAUAUUAUUUACCUAUCAAACAAGUAGUUUAAAAAUGAUCGACUGAAAAUAAAAAUCUCAUAAAAUAUGAUGAUAAAAGACUUGAAUUUAAGAUCAAAAGUACUGAUCUUACUCUAAAUAGUCUAAAAAAAAUUUCUAUAAAAAUUUUAUUAGAUUUGGAUUGUUUACACCGUUAAAUUCACAAACGCACACAUCUACCAUUAAAAUUGUUAAUUUUGAGAGCUUUUGAUCACUAGCCAAAUGAUGUCGAAAAAUUAUGAAACUUAGCUUUCAAAUACUUUUAAUAGUGUAGAUCAAGUCUAACGGAACCGAUUGGCGAAUUGGAAAGCUGCAUCAUUGAAAACAACUUAAUAGCACGGAGAUCUUUAUGCUACCGAUAGUAUACCAGCCUAGCUAUUCAGUUCAAUCAUACAAUUACUAGUAUAAAAUGUACCGACCGAUUAGCUACUAAGGCAUAAUACAAGCAAUCUCUUAUUUGUAUUAGAGCUAAUCAGACAUAUAUUUAAGAUCCAUCUUCUCCAACAAGUGAACUUCAAACUCCUGCUGAUUAAGCGCUUUAGUUAGCGGGUCCGCCACGUUAUUUGCAGAGACGUACUACAUUCCAACGUUUUACCAACGAAAUAAAAAUGAAAAAAUUAAACGACUUAAUCCAUUACCUAGGUACAAACCAAAACAACGAGCGGAAAAAUGUUCAUCGCACCGUUAGGUAAUUUAUUAAGCAACAAACAAUUAGCCCCUCACUUCGAUGAGAUUUUAUUAACCCUUUAUUAAAAUAAUAAUUCGAUGAAUCAUGUGAUUUACUCUGCACGCAAAUCUUAAAACAUAUUAAUUUUAAUUAAGAAUUUUUUUGUCCGAAUCUCGACACAUAGAAUAAGAUCAUGUUCCUCACUUAAUUUUUUUUAAUUAUUUUUUCUAUUUUUUGGUGAAUUCUUGUUGCAUGCCAACGAGUCAAAAGUAUUGUUCUCUCAAAGGUAUCGCAAAACUUGUCGCUUGUGAUUUUGGCUAGGUUCGGUAGGGGUGCACUUUUUUUUUCUUUUUUUUAUUUUAAUUUUAAUGUUUUGGAACUUGGGUUAAAGCCUAAGACCCAACAUUGAAGGAUUCUUUAUUGAUUUGGACUUUGUAGUGGAACAACAGUACGCUUUCUUGGUCUAAUCGUGCAGAUGUGCCGUGGAGCUUUGGGCAACUCUGAAGCACUUUCCAGAGUACCUGUGACAUCACGAAACAAUUUUACAUAUUAUAUUAUAUUAUAUUAUAUAUAUAAGAACGUUAAAUUUUUUAAUCCGAUUAUAAUAUUUUGAAUGGUGAUUAGACCUAAGAUAUUGAUAUAAUUAAGUAUGUUAGGACUGGAGUAGCUCUAUGAUGAGUGACUUUCUGGAAAGCGGGAGUCACCAUUGGUAUCAGAAUCAAUCACCGGUCGGAAGCGUGAGAUCAGUCUUCUUGUACUAGAGUCGUACAGUCGGUAGAGCAUGGCUCCCUAGUUGACGUCCGUUGCAGGUAGAGCACGGUUCCCCAUAAAGUCGGUUAAAAUUAGCGAGACGAGUUUCAUAUCGUCUGCUGCUUGUGAGUAUACUUAAGCCUAACGAGAACGUCAGGACUUAAAAGAGGGGAGAAGUGUGACACCUUUCAAAGUAGGACUAAAUCUUUUAAUCUAGCUAUAAUAUUUUAUGUGUUGAUUCGAUUCAAAAAGUUAAGAGAGUUAAGUAUUUUAGAAACUAAAGUAGUUGUAGAAUGGGUUACCCCCACAAAAAGCGGAACGUCGGCUUUUGUUCCUAGCUUAAGAUAAUUUGUUAAUAAGUCGAGUGAGACUGCGGUCCACAAUAAAUUUAACAAUAAGAGGCUUAACAACAGACCUAACGUCUUUCAAGUCCACGAGUGUUGUGCUUGAAUCUUUAAAGUGCUAUGGAUGUGUCUUAAUUAGUAAAAAUUAUAAUUUCUUCUGGAACAAAAAUUUGAAAGCCACUUAUCUAGUUCCGCCGAAUAGAGAAGCUAGUAAAGAGGUUUAAAUAGCAGUUUCUCUAAAAAUUGUUAACGUAUCUUUCUGUUUUCUGAUAAUAUUUAUCAAAUAAUAUAUAAUCAGAUGAUGCAACAAUCACAUAUACAGUCAAACGGACCCUAAAACAACUUAAGCUAAGAGUUUGAUGGCUGGUAUUUAAAAUAUCAAAUUUAAAAUAUAAUUAUUUUAUAUUUUUGUUUGAUUAUUUUAUAUAAUUUUAAUAUUUUAUGACAACAGAAAAUCUUGUGUGCGAGUGUUCAACAUAUAAUAUUAAAAAAUACCAUGUUCAAAAACCUAAACUUUUAAAUGAUGAUCACCAAGGCCAGCAGGCCAAGCAAUGAGCAAACCAACAUUUUAAUUUCAAAGGUUUAAAUUGAAAACACACUGCAUUAAAGAUAGAUCCGGUAAAGGAAAAAAUGGUUCAAGAACACUGAAUUGACUGAAUCAAACUUUUAAAAUCUUUUCAAAUGAAAAAUAUAAUAAUAAAAAACUUCAGAAUUUGCUCUAAUAUAUAUCGCAUAAAAACAGUUGUUUGGAAUUCAUUAAUGUCAACAAAAGCGGCAGUCGACAUGAAAUAAGAGCCUCAAAAUUAAAGACUAUGUAACAAGAUCAUCAUCAUCAUCAUCAUCUCCACUAACACAGCCAAAACAGGAGGAUGAGUGGCUCACUCUCCCAGAACAAAACGAUGGGCCGAGUUGAGAACAAACCAUGCAUAUAUAUAUAUAUAUAUAAUAAAGUAUAUAUAUAGAGAGAGAGAGAGAGAGAGAGAGAGAGAGAGAGAGUGAGAGAGUUNAAACAAACAAACAAACAGACCAAUAAGGGAAACUGAAAAUGUGGUGAUCGAUCAUGAUUUACAAAGGAAAAGAAAAGCAAGCAAGCCUCGAUGGAUCACCACUCCCAUGCACAAAAAUGUUAAAACGCAAUCUUAUAAUUAAUUUGUACAAACAUUUAUAUAUAUAUAUAAAUGUAUAUGUAUAUAUAGUAGUGUUUUUGAGUAAUUAAGUAAUUAGAGGAUUGGUAGGGAGGGGGGGGGUCAGGAGGAGAGGCGGUUGCAGCGCCAGGCGGAGACGGAGUAGAGGGGGCGCUCGUGCCAGCAGAAGAAGAAGCAGCCGUUCCAGUCGUCGACUUUGUAACCGUCGCGGCCGAAGGUCUGCAGCAGCUUGCGGGCCUCGAGCAGGGCGUCGAAGCUGAGGGGGACGUGGCCGAAGCCGGCGUCGCGGAGCCGCUGCGCCCACCGCUGCAGGCGCUCGUGCCGCUCCCGGCGCUCGGCGCCCUCGCAGGCGACGAUGUUGCGGAUCUGCUCCCCGAGCAGCAGCCGCUCGACGCGGCCCCACUCGGCGGCGCUGCGCGGGGCCGUCGUCUCCAGGCAGUCGAACAUGGCGGCGUAGUAGUACAGCGCCUCCGAGAAGCGCUCGCAGAAGGCGGCGCCGUUGUGGUUGGCCUCCUGCUCCGUCACCACCACGAUCUUCGGGGCCAGCGCCAGCAGGCCGGAGAGGAAGGACUCGAUCCUCCUCGGCGAGUGCGGCGGCGUGGGGGCGAGGGAGUGCGCGUCGGGGCUGGGGCUGAACGGGUGGCCUCGGCCGUGGCCGUGGCCGAGGGAGAGCUCGCGCUCGAGGAGCUCGCCGAAGGAGCCGGGGCUGAGGUGGUGCGCGUGGCGGAGGGCGAGGGCGGCGGUGCUGUUGGAGUCGGCGGCGGCGGCGGCGGGGGGGAGGAGGGAGUGGAGCUGGAGGACGGAGGAGACGGCGAGGGCCUCGCCGGUCUUGACGCGGAGGGAGUCGAAGUCGAGGGCGUCGAGGCGGGAGAGGACGGGGUGGAACUGGAAGGACAUGUCGUGGGCGUCGGCCUCCUUGGAGAGGAGGGCGGAGGUGCGGUGGAGCGCGUCGGGGUCGUCGUGGACGGCGGUGAUGCGGAGGUGCGGGGGGCCCUCGGGGCGGGCGCGGAGGGCGCGCAGGAGGGCCAGCCACUGGGCCGGGUCGGCGGCGGGCCCCGCCAGGUCGACGAUGUGCACCACGCGCUCCCCCUCCAUCUGCUCCAGGAUGGCCUGGUUCGACGUCAGGAACGCCAGCUUCAGGAACGGGCAGAGGUCGAAGAAGUGCCGCCGCGUCGCCGCCAGCAGCAACGGGUCCGACGACGCCGCGGGCGCCAGCAGCGCCUCGUACGCCCCCGGCAGCGGCCGCCGGAGCAGCCGCCGCGCCAGGGCGUCCGUGAAGAUGGUCGCCAGCCGGUGGACCCUGGUCGCCUGCCCCCCGCCGCCGCCGCCGCCGCCGCCGGUCGGAGAGGCGGAGGAGGCGGAGGAGGAGGAGGAUGAUGACAGCAGCCCGGCGAUGCGCGCCAGGCAGGCGUCCGCGCGCUCCAAUGAGCCGGCGUCGACGUCGAAGGCGCACUGCCGCAGCAGGUUGAUCAGCUCCACCCCGCGGUCGCCCGACGCCGCCGCCGCCCACGGGCUCCCGCCGUACCCCAGGAACGGCGUCGGGGACGACGCCGCCGCCGCCGCCGCGAACGGCGCCAGCGCCCACGGCGACUGCAGAAGCAGCGGCGACGACGUCACCGUCGACGGCGAGAACUCGUCCUGCCCCAUCUCGCCCGCUCGCCGAUUAUUCGCUCUACGUACCCUCCUCCUAUUUAGAUAUUAGAUAUUAUUAGAUAUAGUGUUACUGUGCGUAUGGAGUAGUAACUUGCGUGGUCGCGGUGAAAUACAGACAGAAGCGAGGAGCGGAAAGGCGGAAAUAAAAGAGCGAGAGAUUCGUGCAGUCGAGCGACAAGCGCGAAGGGAGCGUUUGUCCGCAUCGAUUUGGUCGGCAGGGGAUGGGCCGGGGGCGAAUUUCUUUUUUCGUUUCCUUUUUCUCAAAUUCUUUUAACAGCAGGCGACGCGACAAUAACAAGUCCAAUUCAAGGUCACGCUUCUGUCGUUUUGCAGCGGUGCGGGUGGGGAAUAAACACUAGUGAGAACAGGAGGAGGCGGCCUCUGUCAUUCCACUUAUUCUCUACCACCGGUAGAGUCCACGGAGGCUCUCCCAAAAGACAAGAAGCCAUUCCUUUGGGUUUGUCUUCAGUGCCAGUGGCGAGGUGGUGUUUGCGAGGCGGCACACACCCACCCACACACGGUCUCUCUCUCUCUCUCUCUCUCUCUCUCUCUAAAUGGUCCAGCAUUUUGUUCUGUGACGAAAGUUUAUAUUAAAACGAGUCAUAUUCGAAGUGGCGUGAGGCUGGUUGGACUGAGUCAUGUUCGAAGUGAAUUGAUUACGUAUUUCUAACAAUUCGAGCUUUUCGGAUUAAUGAUUAGUGCCAACGAUCCUACAAGUGGUAUGGCGGAAGGUCAUGUUAGGUCGAAUUAUGUUCGAAAUGACGUGAGGCUGGUUGGGCCGAGUUAUAAUCAAGAUCUGUAAACGCUGUAUCUGUACAUUUUAAAUAAAUUAAUUACGUAUUUCUAACCGCUCGAAUUUUUGAGAUUAAUGAUUGGUGUCCACGAUCCGACACUCUCCUCCCCUCCCAGUGGGUGAAUGAAUCCACGAAUGAAUGGAGUAAUUGACGAAAGGGGUAUUGAGUGGGCGAAUGAGUGAAGGAAUGAGUCCAAAGAAGAGAGUGCGAAAUGCCUCCCCUGCUUUUGUCGGCUUCUCCGCGGCUUCUUUGGCGCUUCCCAAACCUGCCCGGUAUGAUAGUUUUUUUUUUUUUUUUUUUUUUUUUUUUUUUUUUUUUUUUGACGAAGGAGAUAUGCGACGAAGGAGAUAUGCAGCACGCUACCCGCUUCGUUUAUUUUAUUUAGAAAUAAACUUAGUUAGAAAUGUGAAUCAACUAGGAUUCGAACUUAGAUCUUGGAUACCAACCACUAAGCCUUUUGCCACUUGCGCUAGAGACGGUCAGUUGCCCGGCAUGAUAGUUAAGGACAAGCAAACAAAGCAGACGAGAAAAGCGACGAGAGAAGGGAAAAAGUCUACAAUACAGUACUUCUUGUAUUGUUCAUAUCAUAUUUUCAAUUAAAAUUAAAUUAUUUUUAGACUGUAAUUCAUUUCGAUAUAAGUAAGAAUUAUCUAUUUUAAAAAUAGAUACAAUUAUUGACCGUCUCUAGAGCAUGUGGCAAAGGGCUUGGCGGUUGGUACUCGAGCCCCAAGUUCGAAUCCUAGUUGAUUCACAUUUCUAGCUAAGUUUAUUUUUAUUUGAAAUAAAUGAAGCGGGUCUUUCAAAAAAAAAAAGAUACAAUUAAGUUCAAAUAUAAGUAGAAAUUAAAUUAAUUUUACGUUUGAAUAAAAAUUAAAUUAUUUUUGAAAAUAAGAUAAAUAGUAUUUGAAUGGUUAAAUUGAAAUGAGAAGAAACAAUAUUUUAUCUAAUUAAUUUAAUUAGUAAAAAUAUCAAAAUAUUAAUUUAAAAUAAUUUAAUAAAUUAAUAAAUUUAUUAGCUAUGAAUAUUGUAGAAUAUAACAAAAGUCAUAUUAAUUAGUUAAUUAAAUGCAAAUGAUAAUAUAAAAUUUUUAAUUAGUUAGUAAAUUAUUUUAAUUAGAUAACUGGUAAAAAAUUUGAUUAGAUAACGAAAAUGAAAAUAUUAAUGGUUGAUCAAUAUAAGUAUUAGUUUAUGGAUAAACAUAUUAAAUUAUUAAUAAUUAAUUAGUAAUUAUAAAUAAUUAAUUAAUUAAUUACUUUAUUAUUUAAACAAUGAAUAAUGAUUUAAAUAUAUUAAUUAUAUAAAUUAAUAAUUUAAUACCAUAAUUAAAAUUAAAUUUAGACUUUAAUUAAUUUUAUUCUUACUUGAGAACAAGCUUAUUCCAAAAAAAAAAAGUGGAACAAUAGUUCCCAACUUAUACCAAAUUAUAAUUCCAGGGCCCGACAACGUCUAAACAAUUAAAUUGUUCCUCCGGAAUUCAUCCAUCCCAUCAUAAAAUUUACUUUAAAGUUAAAAUUAUUUCAUGCAUUGUAGAUAACUAAUAUUUUGAAAUUGAAAUUCAAUUUAAAAAAUGUGAUUUGUAACAUUAGAGGAUUAUAUAUUAAAGUUUUGUUUUGAAUUCUAUUAUCUAGAUAUUAAUUAAAUCACCCUAAAUAUCACCAGUAUAUAUAUAGAAUUAAUGGGAGAUUCAAUUUAUCUCUUCUUUUGAAAAUUAACAUUUAAAAUUAAUAUUUAAAAUUCGUUAAUCAUUUAAUAUAUAAAUUUUGAUAUAUGUAGAUCUCUAUAAUAAAAUUUUAAGGGCAUUGGCUAGAUGUGAAAAUUUGGCACUUCAUGACAUUUUUUUUUUUCUAGGUUUUUAAUGCCAAACAUUGGUAAGCAAAUGUUUGCUUCCCAAAAAACAUUAAUUGUGCUUUAGCACAUUAAACAUUAACACAAACCACAUGACACAAGGGUUUUAGGGUUUAUUUUAAUAUGAACAUUAAUGAAAAGUGACAUUCAUGAGGAGUACUAGCAAAGGUAAUCUCAAAAGUGGAUUAAUUUGUGAUCCCUUGGAAGGAUAUAUAUAUUCUUCUAUUAAAAUUAAAAUUAGGGAGCAAAAUCUUAAUUUGUAAAAUGCCAAGUAUAAUCACAUGCUUCUUUGAUUGUACCGUAGUAAGAGUUUAACUUUUCUCAAUCCAAACAAAGUUCUAAAGAUGAAGUUGACAAUUAUUUUCUUUUUUUUUUUUGUGAUUUUCUCUAGAAAACAGUUUUAGAAUUGAUGGGCAAAUAUUUGAUUAUCCAUUUUGUCCUUGUUAUAACAUUUGUUGUCUCUCUUGUCUCACUUUACAUGAUGUUUUAAGCUUAAUUGGUUUGUCUUUAGUUUCUUUGAUCAAUGUCAUUAUUUUUUUUGUCUGAAUGAAUGAAGCAAAUAACGUGCUAUUUUUUUCUCAAAAAAAAUAUUAUUAUUUCUUUAGAUUUUCAAUUUGCCAUUAUCUUUUAUUUAUUUAUUUAUCUAUUAUAAAAAUUUAUUUCUAGGCAUCAUAUUGCAGGACUUGAACUCAAAAUUUUCUACUCAGAUACUACAUUAAAUAAUAUAAAAUAAUUUUUAUUUUUGAUUAAGCUGUUAGAAAAUAGUGUAAUUCAACGAUGCCAAAUCAUGACUUGAACCAAGAGGAAACAUUCUGAUGUGGUUCGAGGUCACAAGUUCGUCAGCUUGAGAUCCAAAUUUUUUCUUUUGAUGUGGUUCGAGGUUAAGAGGAAAUAUUCUGAUGUAUUGGGUGACUGUUUUUUCCUUCAUAUUUUUUUUCUUAUUUGGUUUCUUUUUUUCUAUCACGCGCUUCCGGUUUAAGAGCUUGAUUUAUUUUUUCAUUUAAUAUGAAAGUUUAAAGGGCCGAUGUAUAGAUUUUUUCCUCUUCUUUUCUUAUGGCUCAUUACAACAAAAAAGAUGUAUAGCGAUACUUUUAAAUAUCGGUACAGGUCAAAAAAAAAUACUGCUGGCUAAAUUAUCGACACUUCUCAAAAAUAAUAUCGGUACAGGUUAAAAAAAGUACUGCUGGCUAAAUUACCGAUACUUUUUAAAAGUGUUGCUAUAUGUGGGGUCGCUAUAGGUAGGGCCGCCUUGAUAUUUGGCACUCACUCCUCCAGCGACCGAUGACAAAGGAAUAUGUGGCGACCGUAGCCCUCUACAGUCCCUGCGAGAUCUUCGCGGCCGAACUCCAGCUGCCGGAACCCUACCUCAUUGAAUACGGCGGCGGAGGAGGAGAUCAGGGGCGAUGGCGAUCAAUUUUUUUCUUUUUUAUUUGUAAUCGGGCCGAGCGGGCUGGAUAUGGUUGGUUGAGCAGAGAAACUUUUUGUUUUUGAUUAGGUUGGGCUUUAUAUUUAAGUAUUAGUAGAUUUUUUAAAAAAAAAAUUGACAUAAAUGGAACAUUUAUAUAAAAAUUUUUCAAAAAUGAAUCUCUGUAAUCUAAUUCUGUUGUAGUGGUUGGGGAUCACCACUUUUAUCUUUCCCAUUUAGUUUCGGGUAUAUUUCCUUUCCCCUUUUUUUUCUUUUUUUCUGUGAAAAUUUACUCCACUUACUUUUUCAAGGCUAGUUUUAUUAGUAUUAUUAUUAUUAUUAUUAUGUAAUCAUGCUCUUUUUCUUAAAGAAUUACCUUCGGGCUUUUCUCUCUCAAAAAAAAUAUAUAGCUCUUUUUUUGGGGGGGUUUUAAUUGAGGUCAUAGGGCUAAGUCCAAUAAGGAUUAAUCUCACCUAUCUCAUUGUCCACAAGUUAAUUUAUAUACUUGUAUGUAUAAUUCUUCCUAAGGUGGAUGUGAAAAAGGAAAUUAGUUCUUUAUUAUGUGUUUUGUCGCCCAAACUUCCUUGUUUUCAUCUAUACCAUUUGUUGUAUGGUGGUGAAAUGUAGGAUUAUAUAUGCUUUCUCACUAAGUUGUGUAAACAAGGUAGAAUCCUAAGAGCAAGGGCUUUUGUGUCUCCUUACUUUGCUUGUUUAGUUGUUGUAUGUAGCUUUUUCAAUUUGUUUAGUUCUAAGAAGAUACCCGUAAAAUUUUGGGCAUAUUUUGUCCUUCUGAGCUCUUAUUUUUUGUGUCCUCUUUACAAAUUCUUGCUAAUCAUGUUGUCUAUUCUUCAUGCAUUGAGUUGAAUUAAAGAGCCUCAUGUUUAACUAAACUUGUUUAGAGAUUGCUAAUGGUCCAGCCUAUUAGCAUUAGUAAGUUGUUAGGAUCUAAGAUGUUUAAUUAAACUCAGUUAUUAAUAUGGUUAUCAAUAAGCCAAAUACGAGUAAGCUGGCGUCGGCUCGUAAUCGCUUGUUUAUUACACGAGCGAACACGAGCUUGCUCGUUAAAUGAAAAAUUCAAGUUAUAUUCGGUUUGUUUAUUAACAAAGCGAAUACCAAUUGACUCAUGAACAGUAAAUUAGACUAUCAGUUUUACUACUGGUUGAAAACUUGAAAGAGAAUUAGAAAAUUAGAUACAAAAUAUAGGUCCUUUUACAUAUGAAAUUCGUAUUUUAUAUAUAUAUAUAUAUAUAUAGAGAGCAGUGCUGCUGUGCUCUCACUCCUGAGCCGUUUUCGAUAAUAAAAUUUCCGAAUCGAUGAUCGGCUCCGUUAAACUUGAUCUAGCGUAUUUAAAGUUUCUAGAAAAUAAUUUUUGCGAUUUUUCGAUAUCAUUUACCUAGCAAUCGAAAGGAUUCAAAAUCAAUAAUUUUUAACGGCUGAAAAUAAAAAUCCUAUAAAAAGUGGUGAUAUAGCUCUAAAAUUUUCGAUCAGAAAUAUUGAUCUUGUCGUAGAUAGCAUAAAGAAUUUUCUAUCAAAAUUUCAUCUGAUUUGAAUACUUCUACACUGUUAAAUUUGAAAACGGCAAAUAUCAACUAUUAAAAAUUAUGGAUUUUGAAUCCUUUCGAUCGCUAAGUAAAUGAUAUUAAAAAAUCGCAAAAAUUAUUUUCUAGAAACUUCAAAUGCGCUAGAUCAAGUCUAACGGAGUCGAUCGUCGAUUCGAAAAUUCCAUNUACUAUCGAUAGUAUAGUAGCAUAUAUAUAUAUAUAUAUAUAUAUAUAUAUAUAUAUAUAUUAUUAAUGGAAUAUUUUGAGAGAAAAAUUGUUAAAUAUAAAAAUGUUUAAAUACCGUUAUCUAACAGCUUAAGCUUUUAGAGUACAACGGUUGUUUCACAAAAAUAAUAUGUUAUUCGCUUUAAUUUUUUUAUAAAAAUAAAUUUAACUGAAAAAAAUGAAGCAACUAGGUUUCAAAUUUAAAAUUUCAGAUAUCAUACCAUUUGUGGCAAAAAAUAUUGUUAUCGGACUUGAGAUUACAUUACAGCAGAUGAAACGUACGUUUUCACUUGCAUCAUCUAAAUCCAAUUAAUUGUGUGUAGAUGCACGUUCAAACAUUAAUAAUAAUCUUUUUUAAAGCACAAGCAGGCGAGUAAUUAAACACGCACGUACGUCCCCAUCCACAGACAUACAUGUUGUUCCUACACUAGAUGUGGCGAGAAACUCAUGUUACACUAGUUUAUGUGUUAUUUAAAAUAGCAUACAUUGAAAAUAUUUAACUAUAUAUGGUAGCAAAGUCCUCGCAUUUUAUGAGGUCAAGUUCACAAUAUUAGGAAUAUAUUAGCAUAUAUUCAUUCAUAGCAUUGAAAUGUAAUAUUAAGAGUAAAAAUGUACGAGAGUUUUGAAUCAACUAUCCUGUCUUUUAGAAUUUUAAUUUUACCGUCAAAUUUUUUUAUUUGUUUGAUUUGACUUAACCAACGAUAGUUUAACUUUAAAAUUUAAGAGUUACGAGAAUUACAUAAAAUAUAUUAGACAAACAACAGAUUAAAAUUUUAAUACUAAGUCAAAACAAAUAAAUUUAAAUAUUGAAUAGUAAAAUUAAAUUUUUGAAAAGUGGGGGUCUAUGGUUCAAAUAAGUUUUAAAUAUUUUUUUACUUUAUUUGAAUGAAAGAACAAGCUAUUUAGUUUUUCUAAAAUUCCCUAACCCUUUCUCUCUCUCACUUAGGCUUUUGUGUAAACGCAACAAGGAAAUGAAAAGGUCCAUUCAAAAAAGUUCGACUCAAAACAAAUUUAUUAAUACUAUAGCGACAGUCAAAGUAAAAGUCAAAUGUGCAAUCAUUGACUAAAACUUGGUCACUGGGUGAAUAAGUCAACGCUUUGCAAGCCCACUUAAAUAAACCACAACGCCCAACUAACCAUGAACCACGGACUAAUCACGAUCAUCAACCCACGGUCUUUAAUUAGAGAGAACUUAGUGCACCAGAUUUUAGUAAAUAAUGUUUUAAAAUUAAAAUCUAAUAUGAUAUAUAUGACUGACAUCAUUUAAAUAAAUCAGUAAUUAGUGGUAGAUAAAGAAUCAUUAUUUGAUUAAUAAAGUGUACGUCUUUAAAAUUUAUAAUUUUUUUUUUACAGGAGGCUUCUAAAACAUCUUAUUGAUCACAUCUAUUAAGUUAGAUUUUAAUUUUGAAACGGUUAGAGAAAUGCGGUGUGUGGAACGUACCUAUACACCCCGCGCAGGGAAUAAUUUCUCUCAUCUUUCAGUUUCCAUAACUAUAUAAGCCUAAGCAAUGAUCAGACCCAAAUCCUGCAAAAAUAGCCUAAAUUUUUUUUUUCCCAUUUUUUUUUUUUUUUUUUUUUAACAUUUGUGAUCUCUUACACUCACAAACAACUCAGAGCUCGCGACUCAUCGUCCCUACAAUCGAAGCCAAUUUCGCAAGCUCCAACCCUAGCCAUGGAGAUCGCCAACAAGGCGGCGCUCAACCCCUUCUUCUUCGCCGGCUCCUCCACCCUCCUCGGCCGCGCCGUCGCGGUCCGCGUCCUCCUGUCCCGCUCCCUCCCCGGCCUCCUCCGCGCGCAGCUCGCGCGGCGCCUCCACCGCGGGAACGCGCGGAGGAUCCUCGCGGCGGCGGCGCUCGUGGCGCUCCUGCUGCGGCGCAUCGCGGGGGCGCGGGCGCGCGCGGCGGCGGCGUGCAGGCGCGGGUUCUGGCGCGAGGCGAUGCGGAGCGCGCUCUCGUACGAGGAGUGGGCGCACGCCGCGAAGAUGCUCGACGCGGAGACCCGGCCGAGGGCGAGCGAGGGCGAUCUCUACGACGCGGAGCUGGUGCGGAGCAAGCUCGCCGAGCUGCGGCGGCGGAGGGAGGAGGGUUCGUUGAGGGAUGUGGUGUUUCAUAUGCGCUCCGAUUUGAUCCGGAAUUUGGGGAACAUGUGCAAUCCCGAGCUCCACAGGGGGCGCCUUCAGGUAUAUUCAUCAUCAUUUCUAUUUUCGACGGGUUUGUUGGAGUCGAUGGUAGUGCUGUUUGAGUAACACGGUGUCGCUGUCAGAGUAAGAGUUAUAUCAAUUAGUACGAUAUUGAAGUUUUUGCUCGCUUUGGAGGCUCAAAAUAAUCGCAUUUCCACUUAAGAGAAUAGAAGUUUUUGUUUUAUCAAAGUCAAAUUGAUCUAUACUAUUAAAAAUUUUAGUUCUUGUAGGUGUGAACUCCAUUAAUUUCGAUUGUACAUCAUGCCCGCUUAGUGACAUCUUUUGCAUAUCACUCUUGAUCAACUUUCAUAUCAUUCGCUUACCCUGCACUUAUUUAGUUUCCUGUUAUGAGACAUCCACGUUGUUACAAUAUAUACAGGUGCCUAAACUCAUAAAGGAAUACAUUGACGAGAUCUCAACUCAACUAAAGAUGGUGUGCAACUCUGACUCCGGCGAGCUGCUCCUCGAAGAAAAGCUUGCGUUCAUGCACGAGACACGGCACGCGUUCGGCAGGACGGCCCUGCUCUUGAGCGGCGGUGCUUCGUUAGGAAACUUUCAUGUAGGCGUUCUGAAAACACUCAUACAGCACAAGCUUCUCCCUAGGAUCGUUGCGGGAUCGAGUGCGGGUUCGAUCUUGUGCGCUAUCGUCGGAACACGGUCGUGGCCUGAGCUCGAGAGCUUCUUCGAGGAUUCUUGGCUUUCUCUGCAGUUCUUCGAUCAGAUGGGCGGUGUAUUCACAGUGCUGAAGCGGGUGAUGACGUACGGGGCAGUUCACGAUAUUCGGCAACUGCAGAGGCUUCUGAGACAUCUCACGAGCAACUUAACAUUUCAAGAGGCUUACGACAUGACGGGCCGCAUCCUCGGCGUCACCGUUUGCUCUCCUAGGAAGCACGAGCCGCCUCGAUGCCUUAACUACUUGACUGCGCCUCAUGUCGUUAUAUGGAGUGCGGUGACUGCUUCGUGCGCAUUUCCGGGCAUCUUUGAGGCGCAAGAGCUAAUGGCGAAGGAUCGGUUUGGGGAGCUUGUUCCUUUUCAUGCGCCCAUUUCGGUGGUGGGAUGCGGCGAGGAAGCUUCGAGCGGUUCGGCACGGCGUUGGAGGGACGGAAGCUUAGAGAGUGAUUUGCCCAUGAUGCAGUUGAAGGAUUUGUUUAACGUAAACCAUUUCAUUGUUAGCCAAGCCAAUCCCCACAUAACCCCAUUUUUGAGGUUGAAGGAGCUGGUUAGAGCUUACGGAGGCAACUUCGCCGCCAAGGUAGUUUUUUUUUUUUUUUUNUUUUUUUAACUUUCAAGAUCUCUGUAAUUUAAAUUGGACAUCUUUACCAUGUGGUGUCUAUAACUUCUCUAGUUGCUAUGUUUCUGUUUUCAAGACGCGAGAAAUGUGAUACAGUUAUUCAUAAUGCAGCUUGCGAAUCUUGCUGAAAUGGAGGUCAAGCAUCGAUGCAAUCAAAUUUUGGAACUUGGCUUUCCGUUGGGAGGUAUCGCUAAAUUGUUCGCGCAAGAUUGGGAGGGCGAUAUCACGAUGGUUAUGCCGACUACACUCUCUCAGGUGCUUCUGACACCCUUCUUUUCCUCUUCAUCUUUUAAUUCCAAAUCCAACCUAUCAUCAGUAACUAAUUUUUUUUUUUUUUUUUCCCCCUCUUGAUCCUCAGUAUUCGAAGAUUAUACAGAAUCAAUCUUACUCAGAGCUCCAAAACGCAGCCAACCAAGGCAGGAGAAGCACUUGGGAGAAGCUCUCUGCGAUCAGGGCAAACUGUGCGGUCGAACUUGUAUUGGACGAGUGCGUCGCCCUUCUUAACCACACGCGUAGGCUUAAAAGAAGUGCGGACCGAGCUGCUGCUGCUGCUGCUGCUUCUUCUCAAGGAUGCACCAGAAAUAAAAGAUUCAAUGCUCCAAGGAGAAUCCCAUCUUGGAAUCGCAUUGCGAGCGAGAACUCAUCAGGUUCUCUCGAAGAAGAGUUCCUCACGGAUUCCUCUGCUUCAGUUCACCAAGGAAUGGACAGAAACCUUCGUCCCCGACCAAGUGUAUAUGAAACUAGUGAUAGCGAGUCGGAGAGCAUAGAUUUGAAUUCUUGGACAAGAAGCGGCGGGCCUCUCAUGAGGACCGACUCGGCGAAGAAGUUCAUUAGUUUCAUUCAGAAUUUAGAGAUCGCGUCAGAAUUAAAACACAGUAGUCCAAGGGAAGAUGAGCUUAAUGCUUCAGCAGUAAACAACUCGAAUUCUGCGUCCGCUCAGAUGGUAAGUCCAUCAUACGCUAGCUCAAGAGAAAAUACAGACGGUGAAUCAUGCGAGGCUCGCGGCAGCAGAGCCCUUCUUGCAAGUGCUUCUACCAGCUUUAUGGUUUCCGAAGGUGAUCUAUUGCAGCCUGAAAGGACUGACGGCGGAAUUCUGUUCAGUAUUGUGAAAAAGGAGAAUCUGUUUGUACAAGGAAACGGCGAGACCGAUCUGCGGUUAGGCUGUAUGAGAGAAGCUGAUGUAGAAUCUGUAAAAGCUGAAUGCCACGAUGCUCUUUCGGCAUGCGACGAUGAUGGUGACGACGACGAUGACGAUGAUGAUGAUGCUGCUGCUGCAUCAGAUUGUGACUGAACAUUUGAUCAAUGUAUAGCGAUUGGAUAGAUAGAAAGCUGAUGAGGUUACCGAUUUUAGAACCCAUGAGCUCGGGUGUUCGUUACAAAAGAGGAGUCAGAUGUAAUAUUGUUUUAUGGCAUAUUUUUGUUUAGUUUUCUCUUUUUUGUGAUUGUAUCAGUUUUUACUGAGAAGGCGAAUUUAUAGUAAAAAUCUAAUUCGACGCUUUCGUUGCAGAAUUCCAACAACUAGUAUCGGAUCAACAAUAAUCGGUAUCAAAAUAGGUUGCAGAUUCUCAAAAUCUGGUACCAACGUGAGUACCAGAUUCCCAAUAAUUGAUAUUAUGUUGUACUCACAGCAAUCUAUCGGAGAAAGAGCCUAACUAGGAAUUUGCUUAGCUAGAUUUCAUGCAUAGGCUUCAUUCCAGUUUAUGUGAAUCAAAGUGCAAAAUAUAUGAAUGUAAGGGAGUAAUUACGAAGGUGAGAACAAUGAAAUAAUCUGAUAGAUGAAUGGUUUAUUAUAAGGAGAAUGGCUUAAUUACACUAUAGUACAUUAUAUAUUAAGUUUUUUUCACUUACUACAUUGUACUAUUUUAUUUUAUUUUUCUUCAAAGGCAUCACUUAGUUAUUCUUUUUCUUCGAUCCCCACACUUUAACCAAUAAAUCUAUAAUUUUAUAUGAAAACUGAUAAAAAGUACCGAUGAAAAUUUGCUGGGUAUAUAUUCAACUUAUUUUAAUAUGAAAACUAAUAAAAUACAUAAAAAAGACCAAAAAAUAAAAGUAAUUUGAUAGAAAUUUUAAUGAGUAGUUUUUUUUUUUUUUUUUACUAUUUAACCAAAUUUUCUUAAAAAAAUGUUAGUUAUUAUAUAAACCAAUAGAUAUGUUAAUAAUAUGUAGAAAAUGACAAAAAAAAGUAAUUUUGUAAUAUCCAUUGAAAAGAAAAUAGUACAAGACAGAAAUAUUGAUAAAAUACAAUAAUAUAAUAGUGUAUUUGAAAUAAAAAAGUAUAAUAUAGCAAAUAAAAAUGAUACGAAAGUAUAGUGCAAUAGCGUAUAUUUAAAGCCUAUAAGUGACAAUUAAAUAAGAAAAGCUCUUUUGUUUGAGUUUCGAGUAUAUGAAGUGGACAUAACAUUGCUCGUAGUAAAUCACCGCAAAUAUACAAUAUAUAAAUUGAGCACGCAUCUAACCAUUAGAUCAAUCUGUUUGGUAACGGUGAAAAUUGGCUCAUUUCAUGUGAAAUCGCUUCAAAAUUCGCGCGGAAAACAUUCCACUUCGAACUACAGCGAUUUUGCAAUUUCGUCCCCGUGAGAACAAAUCUACUGAACAUGGUUCGCCACAUUGGCAGUGAGCCAUUUAAGUUUUUUUUUUAAUUAUUUUUUUAAGAAAAAUACGGUCGGCAUUUUAUUGAAGUGGAGUUUUGUAACGUCCCAAUAAUUCCACAUUGGAUGGGAUAGAUCAGUUUAUAUGAAGUCUACACGCUAGUAAUAAUAACCCGACUUAAGCAUUUUGGACAGGUGGUUUGGGCCCAACGAGUUAUUGUUGCUAGCGGGUCGGGUCAUUACAAAUGGUAUCAGAGACAAAUACCAGCCGGAAGUUAUUGUUGCUAGCGGGUCGGGUCAUUACAAAUGGUAUCAGAGACAAAUACCAGCCGGAAGUGUGAGAGCUAAGUGGUAUGCGGGAUAAAGUGCUACACCAACGGGCUUAGUGGGAGCCACCUCUAGAAUCUCAUAUCGCCUGUUAAUCUGGUCCUGCUCUGUCUGUCUGUGAUUUGGUUUGGACCCGACGAGGACGUCAGGGUCUAAACAGAGGGAGUUUGUAACGCCCCAAUAAUCCCACAUUGGAUGGGAUACUGAUUUUGAUCAGUUUAUAUGAGGCCUAUACGCUAAUAAUAAUAACCCGACUUAAGCAUUUUGGGCCGGUGGUUUGGCCCAACGAGUUAUUGUUGCUAGGGUUAUUAUUACUAGCGUGUAGGCCUCAUAUAAACUGAUCGAAAUCAGUAUCCCAUCCAAUGUGGGAUUAUUGGGGCGUUACAAACUCUCCCUGUUUAGGGCUAAACUCUUAAUCCCGCUUAAGCAUUUUGGGCCGGUGGUUUGGCCCAACGAGUUAUUGUUGCUAAUGGGUCGGGUCGUUGCAAAUGGUAUCAGAGCCGAAUACCAGCCGGAAGUGUGAGAACUAAGUGCUAUGCGGGACAAAGUGCUACACCAACGGGUUUGGUGGGAGCCACCUCUUAAACCCGUAGGAGCCACCUCUAGAAUCUCACAUCGUCUGGUAAUGGUCCUGCUCUAUCUGUCUGUGAUCUGGUUUGGAUCCGACGAGGACGUCAGGAUCUAAACAGAGGGAGUUUGUAACGCCCCAAUAAUCCCACAUUGGAUGGGAUACUGAUUUCGAUCAGUUUAUAUGAGGUCUACACGCUAGUAAUAAUAACCCGGCUUAAGCAUUUUGGGCAGGUGGUUUGGGCCCAACGAGUUAUUGUUGUUAGCGGGUCGGGUCAUUACAAAUGGUAUCAGAGACGAAUACCAGCCGGAAGUGUGAGAGCUAAGUGCUAUGCGGGAUAAAGUGCUACACCAACGGGUUUGGUGGGAGCCACCUCUAGAAUCUCACAUCGCCUGGUAAUUUGGUCCUGGUCUAUCUGUCUGGGAUUUGGUUUGGACCCGACGAGGACGUCAGGGUCUAAACAGGGGGAGUUUGUAACGCUCCAAUAAUCCCACAUUGGAUGGGAUACUGAUUUCGAUCAGUUUAUAUGAGGCCUACACGCUAGUAAUAAUAACCCGGCUUAAGCAUUUUGGGCAGGUGGUUUUGGGCCCAACGAGUUAUUGUUGCUAGCGGUUCGGGUCAUUACAAAUGGUAUCAGAGAUGAAUACCAGCCGGAAGUAUGAGAGUUAAGUGCUAUGCGGGAUAAAGUGCUACACCAAUAGGUUUGGUGGGAGCCACCUCUAGAAUCUCACAUCGCCUGGUAAUCUGGUCCUGAUCUGUCUGUCUGUGAUUUGGUUUGGACCCGACGAGGACGUCAGGGUCUAAACAGGGGGAGUUUGUAACGCCCCAAUAAUCCCACAUUGGAUGGGAUACUGAUUUCGAUCAGUUUAUAUGAGACCUACACGCUAGUAAUAAUAACCCGGUUUAAGCAUUUUGGGCCGGUGGUUUGGCCCAACGAGUUAUUGUUGCUAACGGUCAACAGUGUACAGUUUUUGUAAUGUCUUAUAAUAGUCUUGCAUUGGAUAGGACAAAAAUUUUAAUUGGAGUAUAAGCGAUCUCACACCUUAUUAAUAAUAACUGUGUAAGUAUUUUGGGCCGAUGGUGCAAGCCCAACAAGUUAUUAUUGCUAGCUGAUCGGAUCGUUAUAAUUAGUAUCAGAGACGAAUACCGGCUGAAAGUAUGAGAGCUAAGUGCUAUGCACGAUAAAGUGCUAUAUUAACGAUUUGAUAGGAGUCACCUCUAAAAUCUCGCGUAGCCUAAUAAUUCUGAUCUGCAUGCCUGUGAUCUGGAUUUGGACCUGACAAUUCUGGUCUAUCUCACAUUACCUGGUAAGACUGAUCUACAUGCCUGCGAUCUGGAUUUGGAUUUGGCAAUUCUGGUCUAUAUGUCUGUCUAAACAGGAAGAGUUAGUAAUAUUCCGAUAGUCCCACACCAAAUGAAAAAAUAAUUUCGAUUGAAUAAUAAGAAAUCUCGCACUCUAAUAAUAAUAAUUAUGAGCAAAAAUUUGAUAUAUUUCGAAACAAAAUAAAAAAAAAAAUUAAUAAGAAAAAGAGAGACUGUAUUGUCUCCAAACCUAACAAAAAAAAAAGAAUGAAAAGAUAUAAAGGUAGAUCUCCAGAUCUAAGCAACUAAGUUAUCGAAAAGCAAUCACCAAACACAAACAUUCUAGUUGACGAAACUUAAAAUUGUAGAAGCCCCCAAAAAUGAAAAAAAUGACUAUGAAAAAAAGUUUGGAACAAAAGCAAUCACCAAACAAAAUAUUUUGCAAUAAAUUCCCAUUUUAUUAUGCUACUACUAGUAUCAUCUUAUUUGAAUCUGUCGCACAUUAUUACUAGAAUACAUACGAUAUCUAAAAAAGUGCUCGACAGAAAACAACAGAUAGAUAAUGAAUAUGAAUGAAACGAGAGAGUGAUUAGAGAGUCCAUUCAGUUUUAUGAUUGUAGAAACAAAAUAGUAAAUAAUACAAUUCAAAACACACACAAAAAAUAUUUAUUAUAAAAAGAAGAGAGGGAAAAGAGUAAGAUAACAUUUCUCCGUCCCUAGCGCAAGUGGCAAAGGAUUUGGUGGUUGGUAUUCGAGGUUUCAAGUUCGAAUCAUAGUUGAUUCAUAUUUCUAGCUAAGUUUAUUUCUAAAAGAAAUAAACAAAACUGGUAGUAUGCUGCCUAUCUCGCAAAAAAAAAAAAAAAGAAAAAAGUUUCUUCGUCCCAUCAUUUUAACAAGUGAAGGUACCCGCGCGAUGCGGCGGAUUGAUUUCAUAGAAGUAGAUGAUCAAUUUUCAUAUAUAGAAGCGGUAAAUCGAAAAGUAGUCGAUAGUAGCAGAAAUGAACAAAUGAGAAAAUAUAAACAAUUAGCAAUAAUUGGUGGUACACAAAUAUACCAACAGUUAAGAACCAAUAGUCAGCAGUAAUAAUGAACAAAGCAGCGCAUUAGCAGUAAACAAAAACAUAUAGUUGAGGAGAAGUAAACAAUGGAGCAAUUGAAGAACCCCCAAACCAGAUCUAAAACAUCAAAACCAAUCUAGUAACUUUACAUUAGGUAGAAAGUGAUGCAUAUCUGGAAGCUUGAGUGUUCUUGUUACCCAGUCAUCACUUCGAUCAACGGCAUUGCCUGCGCCAAGAUUGUCGUCCUCCACCUCUACCACCACCACGCCUGUGCCGCUGGCUCAUCCACCUCGUCUUCCUCCACCGUACGAUCCAACCCCUAUUGCUUCGGACCCUAUGCCCUCGCGCGUCACACUCGCCGCACCCACCAAAGGUUCCUCACUGAUGGCGGGGAGGAUGGGUCUAGCAACUCCUUUUUCGACGACGGCAAUAGCAACGAUAGCCCCUUCGGUAGCAGCGGGGCGGCGGAGGGUGCGGCUCUAGCGACGGCGGAGUGGGCAUGUAGGAGCGUGUCAAAUCUAAAGAGAGAGAGAGAGAGAGAGAGAGAAAAGAUGGAAGACGACGUAAAAUUGCAUAGUAAAGAAAUUAAAAAUAAGAAGAAUGCGAACACAUUAAUUAUAAAAUAACUGAUAGGAAUGUGAAAAGGUGGCAACACUUCAUAGUAACAAAAUAAAACUUUUGAAAGUGAAAUCUAUUCUAAUAUAUAAUUUAAAUAAGAAUAUGAAAAGAUGGAUCAAAAUAAAUUCGUAUACAUUUGAAGGUAUUGACACUAUCAUUAUUUUAUUUAAUUGAAUCCACAAAUAUAAAAAGAAUCAAAGCUAUUUUGUAAAAGAAUUUCUCUUUUUUAUAGUAUGAAUUUUAUAUUCACAAUUCACUCUUGAUGUGUUAAAAAUAAAAUUAUAUUGUUCAUAUAGGAUUGUGGAUUUUAAUUAUAUUUUUUAAAACUUUUUUAAAAAACCAAAAAUGUCUUUUGCAAUGUUCAUGUCAGUUACCCUGUACUUAAUGCACAAUUAAUAUGUUUCUCAAUAGUAUUAAUUAAGUUAUUUAAUAAAAUCUAAGAUUCACCAGUUUUAUACAUUCUCUUAACUUUUUAUUAGCAUUAGUCAUUAGCAUUAAUCUAUUCUCCCAAAAUAAGAAGGGUAUGCCAUAUCAGCUCAUGUUAUUGAGCUUUCGUAUAGUUUUAUAGAUUAGUAAAUUAUUAUAGAAUUUGUGAUGACGUGGUGGACCCCGUCCACGCAACAUUUUCUUGGCCGUAGUCCUUUACAACUUUUCGUAACGUUUUUCUUAUUUUAUUUUUUUUCAUUCUAAUACGAGUACUUCAUUGGCUUCUAAAAUGGGUCCAACCGUUUAAAUGAGAGAGAUUUUGUUGUACCAAUUAUUCCAUAUUAAAUAAAUAAUAGUAUUUAAUUAAUAUUUAUUUUAUAAGUUAUAAAUAUAAUUUUUUGAUAUUAUUUUUAUAUAAAAUUAUUAUAUUAUUCUUAAGUAGAUUUUUUAUCGUUUUUUAAGACUUAGACUUCGUUUGGAAUUGCAGGAAGAUUGUGUUACGUGCGUUGAGAAACGACGAUGGGAAAAUAUCACAUUUGUUUCUGUAGUAUUACGUUCCGCAUAUCGUGAUGAGUUGAUUACAAUAUAUUUUCUGCGAUCCCACCGAAGAACGCAGAAAUAUAUCCCUAUAUAUUUUUUCUCAACUCCAUUCUAUCUAAUAACGUUAGAUAAUCUCAAUAUCAAACUAAGCCUUAAUUUGGUCGGAAAAAUCUACUGAACGCCACAUUGGCAGUGAGCCAUUUAAGUUAUCUUUUUAUUAAUUAUUUUUUUAAGAAAAAUACGAUCGGCAUUUUAGUGAAGUGGAGUUUGAUUACAACAGUGUACAGUUUUUGUAAUGUCUUAAUAGUCUCGCAUUGGAUAGGACAAUAAUUUUAAUUGGAGUAUAAGAGAUCUCACACCUUAUUAAUAAUAACUGUGUAAGUAUUUUGGGCCGAUGAUGCAGGCCCAACGAGUUAUUAUUGUUAGCUGAUCGGAUCGUUAUAAUUAGUAUCAGAGACGAAUAUCGGCUGAAAGUGUGAGAGCUAAGUGCUAUGCACGAUAAAAUACUACACUAAUGAUUUGAUAGGAAUCACCUCUAAACUCUUGCGUAGCCUAAUAAUUCUGAUCUGCAUGUCUGUGAUCUGGAUUUGGACCUGACAAUUCUUGGUCUAUCUCAUAUCGCUUGGUAAGUCUGAUUUACAUGCCUGCGAUCUAGAUUUGGAUUUGGUCAUUCUGGUCUAUAUGUCUGUCUAAACAGAGAGAGUUAGUAAUAUUUCGAUAGUCUCACACCAGAUGAAAAAAUAAUUUCGAUUGAAUAAUAAGAAAUCUCGCACUCUAAUAAUAAUAAUUAUGAGCAAAAAUUUGAUAUAUUUCGAAACAAAAAAAAAAUUAAAAAUUAAUAAGAAAAAGAGAGACUGUAUUGUCUCCAAGCCUAACAUAAAAAAGAAUGAAAAGAUAUAAAGAUAGAUCUCCAGAUCUAAGCAACUAAGUUAACCAAAAGCAAUCACCAAACACAACAUUCUAGUUGACGAAACUUAAAAUUGUAGAAGCCCACAAAAAUGAAAAAAAUGACUACGAAAAAAAGUUUGGAACAAAAGCAAUCACCAAGCAAAAUAUUUUGCAAUAAAUUCCCAUUUUAUUAUGCUACUACCAGCAUCAUCUUAUUUGAAUCUGUCGCACAUUAUUAUUAGAAUACGUACGGUAUCUAAAUAAGUGCUCGACAAAGAACAACAGAUAGAUAAUUAAUGUGAAUGAAACGAGAGAGCGAUUAGAGAGUCCAUUCAGUUUUAUGAUUGUAGAAACAAAAUAGUAAAUAAUACAAUUUAAAACAUACAUAAAAAAUAUUUAUUAUAAAAAGAAAAGAGGGAAAAGAGUAAGAUAACGUUUCUCCGUCCCUAGCGCAAGUGGCAAAGAACUUGGUGGUUGGUAUCCGAGGUUCUAAGUUCGAAUCAUAGUUGGUUCAUAUUUCUAGCUAAGUUUAUUUUUUAAAAAAAUAAAGAAAGCGGGUAGCAUGUUAUCUAUCUCGCAAAAAAAAAAAAAAAAAAAAAAAUUUCUUCGUCCCAUCAUUUUAAUUAGUAAAUUAUUAUGGAAUUUGUGAUGACGUGGUGGACCCCGUCCACGCAACAUUUUCUUGGCCGUAGUCCUUUACAACUUUUUGUAACGUUUUUCUUAUUUUAUUUUUUUUCAUUCUAAUACGAGUACUUCAUUGGCUUCUAAAAUGGGUCCAACCGUUUAAAUGAGAGAGCUUUCGUUGUACCAAUUAUUCCAUAUUAAAUAAAUAAUAGUAUUUAAUUAACGUUUAUUUUAUAAGUUAUAAAUAUAAUUUUUUGAUAUUAUUUUUAUAUAAAAUUAUUAUAUUAUUCAUAAGUAGAUUUUUUAUCGUUUUCGUUUGGAAUUGCGGGGAGAUUAUGUUAUGUGCGUUAAGAAAUAAAGAUGAGAAAAUAUCAUGUUUGUUUCCGUACGUAAUAUUGCGUUCCACAUAUCGUGAUAAGUCGGUUACGACAUAUUUUCUGCUAUCCCACCGAAAAACGCAGAAGCAUAUCCCUAUAUAUUUUUUCUUAACUCUAUUCUAUCUAAUAACGUUAGAUAGAUCUCAAUACCAAACUAAGUCUUAAUUUGGUAUUGAGGUAGAAUGGAAUUGAGAAAAAAGCAUAUAAUGAUAUGCUUCUGCGUUCUCCGGUGGGACCGCAUAAAAUAUAUCGUAACGGAUUCAUCACGAUAUGCGUUUUUUAUGACUAAUAAUAUUGGUUUUAUAUGAAUCUUGCAUGUAUAUGUACAUAUAUUUGUUAGAGUGCCCAUGAAUAUUAAUAGGGUUUUUUUUUGCAAAUAGCCCCCUGAGCAAUUUUUAUUUUAAAAAUAGCCCUAUCAAAAUUAAAAUUGCAAAAAUGACCCUGUCUCUGCCACGCAGGCGCCACGUCAGCGCCACGCGGGCAGGGCUGGGGCCAGAGUAUUAAGUUGAACACGGUGAAUCAUUCACCAUGUCUAAACACGGUGAAUGGUUCACCGUGUUUCUUACGUAUUUUUUGUAUAUUGAAAAAUGGAAUAAGGAGUAGAGAUAUCAAUAGGUAUGAAUAUUCGAAAUAUUAUCCGAAUCCAAACCCGAAUAAAUUAUAUAUAUAUACGUAAUUUAUUUUUGUUUAUUUAUACAAUAUAUAAAAUAUUUAAUAAUUUUUAUUCCUUAGAUCUUCAUCCAACGGUAUAGAUUUUUAAAACCCGCUGGGUUGGAUGAAGACUAAGGAAAAAAAUUAUUAAAUAUUUUAUAUAUUGUAUAAAUAAACAAAAUAAAUAUUAUAUAUAUAUAUUAUAUAUAUAAUAUAUAUAUAUAUAUAUAUAUUAUAUAUAAAAGCGUAUAGGAAUUCCGACAAUGACAGACGGAAUCCAAAAAGGAAUAAAAUAAUAUUCCCUACGAAUGAUUAUGAUUAAUUUUAAAAAAUAUCUCAAAUAAACAUUAACGGUUAUGAUCAAUCUAUUAAAUAUAAAAUAAUAUUUCCUAUAAAUGAUUUAACUAAUUUGUUAAAAUAUGUUAAAUAAAAACGAACGGUUAUGAUCAAUCUAUUAAAUUUCUACUACAUAUAAAAAUCUGUUCCCUAUAAUGGUUAAUGAUCAAUUUGUUAAAAUAUCUCAAAUUAAAACAAACGGUUAUGAUCAAUUUGUAAAAAAUAGCAUUUCUCAUUAAUCUUUUUACAUUAAAAUAAAAUUUGAGUUUAAAUUAUAAAUUAAAUUUUAAUUUUGAUAUUCAAAUUUGGAAUUAAUAAUUAUUUUUUAUUAAGCAGUGGAUCAAAAUUAAUUUUAAAUAUAAAUGUGAAUUAAAUUUUGAUGCUUUAGUUUAAAACACUAUUUAAAUUUGAUUCAUCAAAAAUAAAAAAGUAUAUAAAAAAUGUUCGAUGUAUAUAAUAAAAGAACACGAUAGGAUAUUAUAAAUAUUUUCUAAUAAAAUAUAACACAUUAAUUUAUAAUUAAUUUUUAUUGUAAAAACUUGGAUAUAUAUAAUGUAACAAAUUUAUAUUGAUUUGAAAUAAAUUAUAAUAAUUGUUACGUGCAUUUGCACGUACAUCUCAAUUAGUAUAUAUAUAUAUAUAUAUAUAUAUAUAUAUAUAUAAUAUAGUACUAUAAAAUAUUUCGGAUAUCCAUACCUGUUAACAUCCAUAUUUCUUAUUCCACUUUUCAAUAUACAAAAAAUACGCAACAAAAAAUACGUACUAAAAACCGUGAACCAUUUACCGUGUUUGAACACGGUGAAUGGUUCACCGUGUUCAACUUAACACAUAGGCCCAGCCCUGCCCGCGUGGCGCUGACGUGGCGCCUGCGUGGCAGGCCCAGGACCAUUAAAUUUUGACAGGACUAUUUUUAAAAUAAAUAUUUGUCAGGGAUCUAAAUGUAAAAAAAACCCAUAUUAAUAUGUUAGCAUACAUAUGUAUGCAUAAAUUAAUAAAAACUCUCUAUAUUAUGUAUAGUAUUAACAAUAAUAUAAAAUUAUAAAGAAUUGCAGUCCCACCAACGUACAGAUCUUACUGAGUAUUCAGCCAAUUAUAUUUAUUAUUUUGAAAAAAAAAUAUGAUAAAAAAUAUUUUUUAAAAAAUAAUGAUAAAAUGAGUGAACUCAAUGGAAGCAAUUUGAUUAGUUGGUAUGGUUGGAGAGAAAGUUUACAAUAUAGCAACUGCAUCACAUUAUCCCUAUCCAACCGAUUUAUUUUUUAUUUAGAGGAAAAAAUAUAGUAAAGUUUUUUUAAAAAAAAAUUUUGAUGAAAUAAAUAAAUUUUAGAAAACUACUGUGGUUGAUUAAAAGUGUGGAGUCAAUUAUGUGACUGUUAUAUUUUAGAUUUUUUUUUUUUCUGGGUAUUGGUGCUUGCGUACUAUGAAUUGCCAAUUUACAGAGAAACCCAAACAUUUCGCCUUUUGAGGCGACCCUUACAGUGACCUCCUUUUGUUUGUCAUUUUCUUGAUCCAGGAAUCCACAGGAUAAAAGCAGAGACCAAAAGUGACACAAACAAGGGGUUAGUUAAAAAAAAAGAAAAAUUUCAAAUAUCAUCCGUUUAGUUUCGCACUUUAUCACUUUAAUACCAUGUGAAUAUAUGAUUUAAAAUAUCAUAUGAUUUCACACUUUCUCACUUUAGUACUCUGUGCUUUAAAGUGCAUUAAUUUAAUACUCUGUGAUUUCAUUUUUUUCUUUUCGUCUGCUUAUCUGUUAAUAUUUUUUUAAAUUAUAUACAAAAAAUUUCAGAUAUCUUACCUUGAUUUAUCAAAUAUUCACUUUAGUACCCUUUAGUUUUAACUUUGUAACCGUUUUUUUUCUCUGUUAAUAUUUCGUUAAAUUAUAUACAAAAAACUUCAAAUAUCAUAUCUAAGUUUAUUGAAUAUUCACUUUAGUAUCCUUUAGUUUUAACUUUGUCACUGAUUUAACGAAAAAAAUUAGUAAAAUGGAUAAUAAAAAGAGAAAAAUGAGAUCACAAGGUACUAACUUGAUACAGUUUAAACCACAGGGUACUAAAGUGAGAAAGUGGGAAACCGCAGGGGCUAACUUGAUACACUUUAAACCAUAUGGUACUAAAAUGAGAAAGUGUGAAACCACUGGAAGAGUAUUUGAAGUUUACCAAAAAAAAAGAUGGAAAAAAAUUUACGGUAUCACACUUGCAUCAUAUUAUUAAUAAUAAAUUAAUUAUAUUUUUAUUUUUGAAAGAAAAAUAUAAUAAAAAUAAUUUUCUAUUAAUUAUGAUCGAACGGGCGAAUUCAAAAGGGACAAUCUUAUUGAUUUAGAAUGCCACGUUAGCAAUAUAAUCGGCGGAUUCUAAAUCUUUAAAAACUGUAUCUUAUAUUAGAAAUACGUACUUUGAAUUUCCCAUCCGAUGAUACUCUCAUAUACUAUUAAUAUAUUAAUAUGAUCAGAAUUUAGACUAUAUAGGAUAUGAUAAUGGUGUUUAAAAUUUAAUUAAUAAUAGCAUUUUGGAUUCGUUAAUUAAUAUUUAAAGUAUAAUAAUGAUAUUGUUAUGUUAUCAGUAGGGGUUGCAAUCCGGCUCGCUGUUCGGGAGCCAGCUCGUGUUCGGCUCAAAAUGAGCUCGAGAUCCGAACGUUCCGUUUAGUAACGAGCAGAAUUUUUCGGCUCGUUUAUUAAACGAGCCGAACACGAGCUGGAGUCAGCUCGCUCAUGUUCGCUCGAUAAUGAGCUCGAAUACAUAUAUUUUAUAUUUAUAAUAAUUUAUUUAAUUUAUAUUAUAUAUAAUAAAUAAAAAUAUUAUAUAUAUUAUAUUUUAUUAUUUAAUUUUUAGUAAAAUAAAAAAUAAAGCGAGUUCAAUUAUAAAAAAACUCAUUUAUAUAUAAAGUUUCAAAUAUUAGAUCAAAGUCUAAUGAAUAAAAUUUUAUAAAUUUAUUUUUCUUAUAUAUAUUUAAUCUAAUUCUUUUAACUUAUUAUUCGCUGGCCAGCUCAUGUUCGGCUCGUUUAUUAACGAGCCGAACACGAGCUGAAUUUUUUGGCUCGAAAUUUUAAAGAGCCAGAGCCGAACAAGAGCCGAUCCUAGCUCGCUCGUAUUUGGCUCGUUUACACCCCUAGUCAUCAGCAGCAUUGUAGGGUACAUUAUAGGAUAUCAUCUGUAGCAGCACUCAUCUUAUGUACCAACUUCCUGGAAAAAGCAGAUCCCUUUGUUUGUGACUUUAUAUUCAUGUACAUGUGUACCUGUGUCAACUUCCUGAAAAGUCAUGUAGCAAGCAUUUCAUGUGGCUUGUUGUUGUCUGAGUAGUUUCUGUAAAAGGUCACUGAAGAAAGUGCUCAUGAAAAAAGCUGAGUUCCAUGUUUGCAUCAUGAAGCUUCUUGCAUGCCUUUGAGGAAAAUUAUAUAUUUCUCUAAUUGAGUGAAAUUGUAAUUACAAAGUUUUUUUGUGACUUAAUUCAACAUAUAAUGUUCUUACUCUAAUUUUUUAUUUUUUGCAAUCAGAUCAUCUGCUGAUUAAAAUUAAUUCUAUUAAUUAUGAUAGAAAUUGACAUGUUAGCACUGAAUAUUACAACAUUAAUAUGGCAAACAUAAAAAUUAUUAUUUUAAUGUAAAAUUUUUAUGUUGCCUCUUGCUAGAUUUUAUACUGUCUUAUACGGUAAAAAUAAGAUUAGUUUAAAAAUAUAUUCUAUGUUGUAUUACUAUUACAAAUAAGAUUUUUUUCCAUAAUUAAACCUUACUCCCACUAAUAUCAUUUGAAGGUGUCUUCAUAGUGUGAUUUUCUGUGAAGGAAGUUUUAUUCCUUGGAGGGUGAAAUAUAUAUUUUUUACUUUUAUCUCAAAAAAUAUAAUUUUUAUCUCAAACAGUACAACUUUGUUAUUUUUUCAUUCUUCUCUACUUUUUGAUCUUUUCUGUAGCAGCCACGACAGAUGAUGAUGGUCUUCACAAGAGAAUAUAUAUAUAUAUAUAUAUAUAUAUAUAUAUAUAUAUAUAUAUAUAUAUAUGUAUAGAGAGAGAGAGAGAGAGAGAGAGAGAGAGAGAGAGAGAGAGAGUUGCCAAAACAUAGCACUCUUUAGGCUGCAGUGAUUGGCAUAAAGGCAAUCAAUAUGCCUUGAAGCUAAAAACUUAACACAAUCCGGCAUUCAUAACAAACCAAGAUGUUGUAGAUGAAAGUUUAGUUUUAGAAAAUAGCUUGGAGCAAAACUNAAAACAGGGGAGAAAGAGGAGGGUGAAAGAGAAAGAAGAGGAGGAGGUGAUAAGGGUGGUACGAGGGGGAAGAAUAGAGCGAGUAUAGAAGCGGAUGCACCUGAGCCUAUACUGUGUCUAACGUCUCUAUUCUGACGUUGUCUCGCAUACUAACACUUGCCAUUUCUAUUACUCAAAAAAAAGCGGAGGGGGAGAGAAACGAAUCGUCAAUUUUACUAAAAAUUUAUUUGGGGGGUGGUUGUGGGGGAUUUUAUUACAGUUUUAGAAAGAGCAACGAAAAGGAAAGGAGGUUUCGCUCGUCCGUAGCAGCGUCGGUAUCUGCGUCGGCGCAGAAACCGAGGAGGGGCGACGGAUAAAAGCAUGGAACUUGCCGAGACGACAGUCUGCGGAGAUUUUGGGACGGUAGCAUACCGUGCUUGGAAUGUACCCCGUGAUACAGACUGGACGCAUGCUGUUCCUGGGUUGCACACGGAGCAUUAUAAUUUUUUAAUAAGAAUAAUUAUCCAUAAAUCUUUUAAAAUUUUAAAAAUAUCUAAUUUUAUUUUUGAUAUAUUUCUCAUAUAUUUCUUUUUUUCUGUAUUAAAACUUGAGUUAAAUAUCUCUUUUGUUUUUAACUUAAGAGCAAGUAAGAAAAAUUUGGUAAUAAUUGAUAGAAGAGUAUAUUUAAAGAGAUCAAAAAUUAAAAUAUUUUUUAUUCCUAAUUUAAGGACAAAUAAAAAAAAAUUGAUAAUGAUGGGAGGCUAUAUUUGAAAAGGUAAAAGGUGAUAUGUUUCUAUUUAUCAUAACUCAUGUCACAUUUGCGUCUAAAAGUGGAUGUAUGACUAGCAUUUAUCGUUUUAAAAUGGCCAAAUUGCAUGAUUGGCCCUCAUACACUAUUUUAUUAUAAUUUAUGAAUUUAUAAAUAUUUUGUUGGCUUAAAAGAGGCCAACAUUCUGUCCUGUGACGAAAGAUCAUGUUGGAUCGAGUCACAUUUGAAAUGACAGGAGAUCGGGUUGGAUCGAGCCAUGUUCGAAGUGACGUGAGGCUGGCUAGACUGAGUCACAAUCGAGGCCAGCCGUUGUAUUCUAAAAACUUAAGCUGAUAGAUAAUGGUGGGCUCGAGACUUUUUGUAGGCUCCAUGAUAUGAACUUGAAUUAAAUGGGAAGAAACUAAUAAUGCUAGGAGCCAGAUGUGAUUUGAAUUUAAAACUUCCUAUUUUGAUACCAUAUUAAAAAAUACGAAACAAUCGUUGCACUCUAAAAGCUCAAGCUGAUAUAAAAUGAUAUUUAAAUAUUUUUAUAUUUAACACUAUAUAUCUUUUGCUAGUUAUUUUCAAAUAAAAUUAUUUUUCAAAGAAAAUAUAUUAUCUCCUAGUUAAUAUAUUUUAUCCUAUUAAAUUAUAGUCACCAUGACUUUUAAGGAACAAAAAUUAAACUAUUUCUGCCUAUCACAUAAAAAUUUCCGUACAAAUUAAGAUAGUAUUAAAUAUCGUAUUCUAACAUCCAAAUAAGAACUUUUUAAUGCUUAAGUAAAAUAGCAAUGUUUCUGUACCCUAUCCAUCCAAAGACUACUUAAUUACUCUCCUUAAAAAAUAAAAAAAUAUUCACAAAGAAUACAGUAUGACAAAAUGAUCAAAUUAUCCUUAUCUUUUUCAUCUCCUCCUUCCCAAUAUUGCUCAUUCCGGCGGCGGAGGAGGUCGAGAGAGUGUAUCUGGACAUGGACAGAGAGAUGGGCGAGGCGGCGGCGAAGGGCGAGGGGGCGUCCAAGAACAUGUGUGUGGGUACGAAUGAGAAUUUUACGAUAUUUUGGGUAUAAAAAAUAAUAUAUAAAUAGAACUCCAACAAAAUCACCGGGGGCCGAAAUGAACAUUUUUUAUUUUUUAAAAAGGCAUAGUGUAGGUUUUCGAAUGACAAGAAAACAAAGUAAAAAAACGAGUAUUGACAUAGAAUUUUUCUGUAAUUUAGUGUAUUUUCAAUUUAUUUAAAAAGUUAUAGCAUUUAGUAGAUGAAAAAUAUAACCAAACGUCUAAAAUAAAUUAACAUAUUUUAUUUUCUAGUUAAUAUUUUAGAAUAAGAUAAGUCAGUUCGUAGGUAAAAUAUAUUAUACUAUCAAAUCAUAAAUGACAAGAUUUUUUAAAAAUUAAAUUUUUUCUUUUCCUUCCAAUCAUAUAAAAAAAAUUUUAUACUAAAUAAAUUAUUCUUAUUUUUUUUAUUUCUAGGUCAAAUAAGAUAUUAAUAAAAAAAAACGAUUGACUAAUUCAAGCGCAUUGCAUAAAUUUUUAUUCAAGAGGUCACCUGUCACCUCUCAGGUGAGUAGUUAAUUAGUUUAUCAUCAUCAUUAUCCAUACAAAGGUUCAUUAAAAAAAAUUAACAAGUGUGUUUGUAAAGAAAAAUAAGAUCCUAAAUGACCCCAUAAUACACUAUUUUAACUCCUACCCCCCCAACGCCAUUACUUUAACAAAGCAAAUUUUCUACAUAGUUUAUUCAGCUGAUAAUUUUAAAUUUUAACAUAAUUACUUGGCACUGUCCAGUAUAGAAGGCAAUCCAGCGACGAGAUCAAUCCCGUGCAUAGCAAAUCCUACCCCGUGCAUAGCGAAUCCUGCGCACAGGGUUAAUCACCACCACUUAAUCACUACGGACACACGCACGUAUCGCACACUGGACCAAGUUCGAAGCCUAGUUGAUUCAUAUUUCUGACUAAGUUUAUUUUUAAAUGAAAUAAACGAAGCGAGUAGCGUGCUAUCUAUCUCUCAAAAAAAUAAAAAAAAUGAUAAUAAUUAGUGCAUUAAAAUCAAAAUCAACUUUACUAUAUUUGAUCUAUAGCAUUUAAAUUCUUGCGGCAUUGCUGAACUGCACACGCAUGAGCCGAUAAAGAAAGAAAAACUCCACCAUUAUACCGGAGCACAUUUAAAGAGAACAUAGAAAGAGAGCACUACAUGUAGGGGUGUCAACGAGCCAAACACGAGCGAGCGGAGGCUGGCUCGUGCGUGUUCGGUUCAUUUAUGAAAUGAAUCGAACAUGAGCCAACUCGUUAAAGUAUCGAGCCGAAAAAUUCAGCUUGUGUCCGACUCGUUUAUUACGAGCCGAACACAAGUCAAAUACGAGCUGGCUCAUUAAUAACAAAUUAUAAGAAUUAUGAAGAAUACUUAUAAAAAAUAAAUUUUUGAGAUCUUACCUAUUUAACUUUGAUCUAAUAGUUGAAACUUUACAUAUAAAUGACUUUUUUAUAAUUGAGUUUGGCUUUAUAUUUAGGUAAAGCUAAAAACCAAUUAUUUAUUUAUGUAUAUAUAAAUAUAAAAUACAUGUAUUCGAGCUGUUAUUGAGCCGAAUACGAGCGAACAAACCCCUGCUCGUGUUCGGCUCGUUUAUCAAACGAGCGAUUCGAUCUCGAACUCUUUUCGAGCCGAAUACAAGCUGGCUCGCAAAUAGUGGGCUGAAUUACUAUCUCUAACUACAUGUGAAACCUAUAAUAGUACACUUUUUAAAACCAGUUACCUAAAUAACAUGUAGUUUCAGAAAUCAAUAAUAAAAAAAAUUAUCAAAUUUUACAAAAAAAGCUUAUUCCAAUUAAGUUUAUAACUUUUCAUAGACAGAUCUUUUAAAUUGGCCUAAUUAAACUGCACUACACUAUAUUUUUAUAUAUAUUUUUUUUUUAUUUUCUAUAUUGUACUAACUUUUUUUUAGACACACUACUUAACUAUCCUUUUUUUUUUUUCCCGAAUCCUAUGCUAUAAGAAAUAAAUUUUAUAAUUAUAAAUAAAAGCAACUAAAGAAAUACUGAUUAAAAGUGGCAAAAUGUAUAUUCAGCACAUUUUGACAAAAAAAUAACAAAAUACAUAAAACUACCAAAAAAUAGUUAAAAAUAACUUAAUGAAAAUUUUUAAUGGGUCUAUUAUGAAAAUUCACUUUUUAUUUUUCUAUUAUGUAAUCAGUGCCUUUUAGUAAAAUUGCUAGAUUUUGCUUAAAACAUUAGAUUUAUCCUAAUAUAUAUAUGUAUUAAUUGAAAUGUAGAAAUCGGCAAGAAAAAAAUAGUUUCUAAACUAUUUGUGAGAAAAGAAAAAUAAUAUAAGAUAGAAAAAAAAAUAAAUCUAAAAUACAGUAUAGAAAUUGAUAAAAUAUAAUAAUAUAAUAAUUUCUUUGAAAAAAAUUUAUUACAAUAUAUAAAAUAAAAAAAAAUUAUAAAUUAUAGUAUAGUAAAAUAUAAUUAAGUCUUUUAAAUAUACUAGAAAAAUUAGGAGUCAAAUUCUAAUUUUAAAUGGUGCAGUAUAUUGUGGAGUAAAUGUAAUAAUUUAACCCCCCAUCUACGGUCCCCGCUGACUAUUAAAAAAAAAAAAAAAAAAAAAAAAAAAGGAACAGAGAUUUUUUGUUUAACUUUUUUAGACACCCUCUAAUAAUUCAAUGUUUGGGAUUCGCAAUAAAAUACUUUAUGUGCAAUAAAAUAUUUAAUUUGUUAUAGUAUGUAAUCACAACGAGCCUGUUUAUGAUCUAACUGAGAAAUAAAAAUAUUUUUUUAUCCAUUAAUAUUAAAUGAGCCUCGACACCACCAAAAGGAAGCUUAGUUUGAAAGCUCGUCGUUCAUUGGAUAUGUGCCCGCACAAGCUUCUUAAGAAGCUCUAUGUUUUAUCAGAUAAAUAAAUUAUACUACUCACUAAAGUGGACUUUUGUUUUCAAAAUAAUCCUAUAAAAUUUUUUAAUUGGAUAAAAAAUUCUAUAAAAAAAUAAUUAGCAAACUAAUCCUUCUUUCGUCGUAUAGGAGUCAUGGCGAAACUUUCUCUUACCACCUUCACUUCAUAAAGGUGAUAAACGAUUCAUUACCCUUUUAAUUUUUCAAAAAAAGGGUAAAUAAUUUAAUAUCUUUUUUUUAUUGCUUUUUUUUAUUUUUUAUAUAAUCCUAACCAUCACAAACAAUCUUAACAAAAAAAAAAAAAAAUCUAAUAAUUUAUUCAUAUAAUUGCAAAAGACGGUGAAUUAUUUACCGCCUUCAAAGAAAGAUUUUAUCAUGCCUUCUAUAUGUCCUUGUCAUUAGGAUCUGUUAAAAAAAUUUAGUUAACCAUAUGUUAAAUACUUAAUCCUGAUUAGUUUUGACAUUUUUAUCCGUUUUAUAUUAUACUGUUAUGGCUUUUGGAGGAACAUAUUGUAAUGGCAAGAUUAAAAAUAUCAACAGUUAUCUAAAGGCAACAAAAUAAAGUAAUAUAUUUGAAAAUAUUAAAAUUUUUGUAGAAAUAAUAUCUGAAAGUUGAAUUUUGUAAGUAUAUAUUUAUCAUUCAUUAAUUAUUGUAGGGAAAUCCUAAUUUUUUUUUUUAGUAAGUAGGAUCAUCUACCGAAUUGUACUAUUUUCUAAUAAGAUUAUUUGAAAGAAAUAGUGGAGUAGGGCUAGAAUAUUUUUAUAAGUAUCACCCAAGUGAUACUUGUGUGUUUUUAGCCAUUGGAUCUACUUUUUGAUUACUAAUAGUCCUUGGAUCAAACACUAUUCCACCUACCAUCACCUACCAUCACCUACCACCAUCAUCUCAACCUCACAUCUCUCCAUCCAAGAGCUAAAAACACACAAAUAUCACUUGGGUGAUAUUUUUACAAGUAUUCUAGCUCUACUCGAAAUAGUGUCACCAAACUAUUAAAUUUUGUUCGUACCCACCUGGGGAAUCGAUAUAAAAGCUGCGAUACGGCAUAUAUGCGCGCCAGCACAAGCAAGCAUCCGCAACUUCACCCCCCUCCUGCUUGUCCUCGCGAGUCGCAUCCUCACGCCAUUUCAAAUCAUGCAACCACCGCCAACAAUAACAAUAACAACAGCAACAACAACAUAAAAAGAAAUGAAUCCGGGCCCCCGAAGCUUCGCGGAAGCUCACUUCCCCCACACACCCCCCCGCCCCCGCUCUUUAAAGCUNCCCCCCCCCUCCCCUGCUCUUUAAAGCUCUCCCCACCAUAUUCCAUAAACAACCCCAAAUCGAUCCCUCGGUCGAUCGGAUUGAGAUAUCUCGAUCGAACGCGAUGAAGCUCAUCACCCUGAAACCGCCUCAGUUUUUCAGAUCGGCGUCGAAGAGGGAGGAGAAGAAGAGGAAGAAGAAGGCGCACCUGUCGCGGUCGAACCCUAGCUCGUCGUUCGGGUCGGCGUCGGAGGAGUCGGAGGAGUCGGCGGGGUCGGGGCGCACCCCGAGGUCGGUGCUGGGGAGGGGGGUGACGCGGAGGGAGGUGGAGGCGGUGCUGCGGCGGAUGGCGCCGGAGGAGGAGGUGGCGGCGAUGAUGGAGGAGGCGGUGAGGGAGAUGCUGGUGGGCCUCGGCGACGACCGCUGCUCGCUCGACGACUGCAGGCGCAUGAUCGGCGGCGUCGACACCGACGGCGACGGCUUCGUCUGCUUUGACGACUUCGUCCGGAUGAUGACCGUCGCCGCCAAGGUGUGAUCCCGAUCUUCAUCUUCAUCUUGGCGACGACGGUUAGGAUUCGCUCCUGGUUCUCGGGGAUGGGAUGUGAUGUGAUGUUGUUUUGUGCUUUGUGGUUAAUGUGCAACGGUGUACGGAGGUGGGGUAAUUAAAUAGGGAUGUUUUUUGCUUCUUUUUUUUUUCCCUCGUUUGGGGUCCUGAUCUUGUUGCAUCUCUUUAAUUAGGACUAAUUUAGUAUCUCAGGUGCAACAAUAUUGCUCUCUUUCUCUUCUUUUUUUUUUUUAGCUGCAUGAACAGCACGUCGCGCAAAGCAAUAUAUCACGACAGUGUCUCAUUCUAAGAUUGUUCUCUGCAAUUUUUUAAAUUAAAUUAUUUUAAAUAAUUUAAUAAAUUUUUUAUUAAAUUUAUAUGUAAUUCUAUCGAAUUUAAUAAAUUCAAUUAUUUUUAGCUAAUAAAAUUACAAUAAUUAGCUGGUAAAUAAUAUAGCUACUAAAUUUAACCAAAUUUCAACUUAACAAUAAUAAUUUAAAUAAAAAAAAUUAAAAGCUAAAAAGAGUAUCAGUUAAAAAUAAUAAUGAAGUUGCAGGAACUAAUUUCAAAAUUGGCCUAUAGUUGGAAGGGGGUAGCAGCACAUUUUCACAUUUAAAAACUAAGCAACAUGUCUACAUAAUCAAUCAAUCAUAACCAAAGUAUGAAGCACAGCAGCAGAGAACUAGGUAGAUAAAACAACAGUUACAGGAGUAUGCGUCGAUAACAUUAACUAGAAAAAUUCUUAAUACUCUUCACUGUAUGAAAAGGCGGGCGAAUUGAAUAAGCUUUUCGCCAAGCAUAAGCACCACCGACCACGUAUAAUGUGGCUAUUGCCGGUUCAGCUCUAGGGCGCACGAUACUUACAGCAACGCAGGAACGAAAUUCUUCGAGAAUUUGAGAGGCAGAAGCAGCUCCUUCCAGAAGAUACAUUACAUGCUUUGAUCUUCAAUAUUUCUGAUGGCUCCAAAUCUUGAUUACUGAGCAAUUCUUCAGUCAUUAAGAGGCUUUAACCAAGUCAGAUGUCAUAGGCCUAUGACAAAUGGAAGCACUUCAGAUCACUAGUUAACCAAACAUGCAAUACAAGGGAUAAAUAGAUGAACUGUGCGUCAUUGACAACAAAUAGCUUCUGAGAAAUGAUGAGAGAAAUUGAAGAGAAAGAAACAAGAAAAUUAAGGAGCACAAAUGGCACACCAAAACAAACAAAGGAAGAUGGAACAAUUGUUGCAACAUCAUGAUUCGAAAAACCAAUGUGGAAUAUAAAUCUUUAAUAACAGUUAUGUUCACAAGAGUCAAGAAGAUUCCUGUCCCUUCACACUCCACUGACAUUAAAACAUAGCCACUCAAAGAUAAACUAUCCUAAAAGGUCAGAACAGCUAAGAUUUUACCAAAGCUGAAAACAAAUGUUGUAAUAAAAAAAAGAGAACUCUGUAAGGCACAAGUUAUCACAAGAUGACGUGAUCAGACAUUGUAGCAGGGGACAAAAGAUCUCAAAACAUCAAAAAAUCUCCUAGAUUCAAGUAUGCGAGCUGAUAGUGUGAGGUUCCAUCUUCAAAGCAAAAAUACCCUAACAUACUAACAGCAGGAAAACUGUAACCUCGUCGAGCAUAAUGAUUUUCUGCACUUCACAAGUACAUAUAUAAGCCGGGAACAGUAAAGCAAGUAUUCGGACUUGUCAAUGCCAAUAAGCAAAACAAGACAAUGAAUAGUACAUAAAGAGUCUCAUUGCCAUCUGCAACCUUCCAAGUAAAUGCAUGUACACUUUCACAGCAGCACAAAAAUUAAAAGCAGACUAAGAACCUGAAAUUUCUAAGUCCAUUCUGUGUGCGAACGAAACAAGAAAUAAGGAUGGCAUGACCUUUUUCCGAGGCCUCUGGCCGGCAUGUCGCCUGUACAAAGGUUCAUAUAUGCUUUAUAAAGUUUUUAACCAAAAAGAUGAAAAUCAAACAGUGGUGUUCACGGUUAUUUGAUAUUUCACAACUGAUCAAAUACUCUAUAUAAAAGGGCCGUCCGCAUGAAAUAUAUUUAUCAAAAACUUUGUUUUAACAUAUGAUUCCUUGAUGUGAAUUCUAGCCGCAAUCGAUGGAAUUCAAUAGCAUAAAUUACAUGACUACUAACCAUUGCAUUUGACUAGAAAAUACGAAACUGAUUAGAACUUCCAUUCCUAAUACCAAACUCUAACAUGUAAAGAUCAAAGCUCUGCAAGAAACCACCCAAAAACUGAUAUUAAAUAAAAUACAAUACCUGUUUGAUAACAGCAGUGGAUUCCACUUAAUAGAUCUGAAUAAACAAGUAGUGCCCCAUGUUUUGCUUAGUUCCUUCUUCUUCUCUUACUAUGCCUUCCUCCCCUCCUGUCACUUUCAUCUGAACUCGAUUCUGACUUGGACUCUGCCCCUGAAUCUGACCCACUUGAACUAUCCGAAUCAGAGCUUUUAGACUCAUCAUCAGACUCCAACACUGGCUUUUGUUGCUGCAUUAUAAGACGUGGCAUGUUUUUUAAGUAUUCUCUCAGGCUCUCUGUAAUACCACCAAGCCCGAUAGAGGUAAAGAAGUUGAUGGAGAAUCUUGUAUUCUUCGGAUUAUCCUUAGGGAAAAUUGACUCAAUUGAAUCUUUCAUCAUCGGAUCGUUAAGCCGUUCAUUAAGUAACCGUAUACCAAGAUGUUCGGACAAUUCCUGCAAAAAAACUUAACUUAGUUACAUUGAGAUAUAAAGGAAAUGAGAAGAGUACUGCCUCGUGAAAGAGGGUUACUGUAUUCAGUAAUAGACUACAUACCUGGAAGAGAAUUUUUAUAAAAAUUCGCGAGGAUGAAGUUGUGUCUUCUUCAGUCAAGCGUAUGUAUGCAAGAAUAUGCCAAGGAAGAGCAUCAGUUCCCAGAAGAUGAGCAAAGAACUUUGCAACAUUACGCAAUUUAUUUGUUUCAAGUCGAUGUAUCAUUGAAUAUUGCUGCACAAAGCAUUGCUCAAAGUUUUCCUGGUAGACUUUAUUGAUCAUGCAGAACCGCUGGCCCAGGAGACCAUAAUAACGAAGAUAAGUUCUCUCCUGACUGCAGCACUCCAGAAGCAUUACACAUAACUCCAUCUGUUCCAUAAACCAAAAAAUAAAAAAGAUUAGCAAUGCUGAGGAUGUCACGAGAACUUAAAUUAUCAACAAGAAAUCAGGAAACACACAAAGAUCAUUCACGUAUACAAAAGAAGAAGAAGAAGAUAGAGACAAGGAGAAGAAAAACCGGUAAACUAUACUGAUUGCAAAAUGAUGAAGCUGGUAUCCUAUAUGAUCAUACACAAUAGUCAGCAUACCAGAACUUUUUUUUUUCCUAUUUAUUUUGACUAGUUGGACCAUGAAGAUUGACGAAGCAAUAGAGUCUAACAUUUGGAUCAACAGAGUACUAGAGUAGGCCAAUACACUGCUAUAGAGAUCGACCGGUUGGCUGAAGAUUGACUGGUCUAAACAUUUCAAAGUUCUCUGUAUUUAACUUGAAACCCUAUGUCCUUGAGGAUGGAUAUUUUCCAUAUAUAGAGGUCAAAUGGUCAGCUGAAGAUUGACAGGCCUAAUAAUUUCAAAAAUUCUGUAUUUAACUUGAGGAUGCGCAUGUACUACUUUGUUGCAGAGAUUAAUGAAGCUUUUAGAUUGAGUAAUAACAUUGAUGGUAGAUGAUGGGGAGUUUUACGAAGCUUUUAUGUAAUUUAGGUAAGAAAGAAGGAAAGGCUGAAAAAAAAAACUAUCGAGUCUUCACACUGGAAACAAAGAAUUUAUUGAUAAAUUUGAUCUCAAUCGUAUGUAUGGUUUUUCCCUUGAUCUGUAAAACCUAAUGGCAAGAGGUAGAAUUAAAAAGAAUCCAAAUAUCCUGAAAGUAUACCCUUCUUCUAUUUACUCUAAAUGACCUAAAUUUAAGUAUUUAGCCUAACACAGCUUCGAGUACGUGGGCAUCAAUGAGAAGCACCUGAACCUCAGCUUUGAUAGGGUUUGGAAGGAGUUUUUACAAUUAAAUAUAAUCAAUAUUCUGAAGCUGCCAUAUGGAGCCAACAUAGUUAGCUUCUGCAUGUCAGCUAACAAGUGUCUUUUCUCCGAGGAAUGCAAAUGUUUCUUGUGUAUGUUUCUAUGAUAAAAGACUAAAAGCCCAUUUCUCACCUUCACGAAUAUUUUGAUUUAAGCUUCUUUAAGAGAAGCAAGAGUUCCAAUGUAUAGCGAUUUAAUAUCAAGCUUGUGAGACUGACGUUUUGACCAUGCAUGAUGUUAACUUAACUACUCAUUAAUACAAAGACACCUCUAAGAGGAACAAUUUGCAUGAUUUAUUCAAUCCAAGGGAACACUUCCCAAAUUAAAAGUCUAGGGAGGUGCAGGCAACCAAACUCAAAAUCUGCAAGAUGAUAGCCCAGAUUCAAAGUCCAAGAACGUGGUCUCAACCAAACUCAAAGUCCAAAGGGAUUAUUUGCAUUACUCCUAUAACUCUUAAUCUGAUCAACACAUAUACUUGCAUAGUUCUCUAAAAGAUAUGCACCGCAGGCCAAUAAACAUACAAAUUUGCGUAUCUCUUGAGCAUGCUCAAUGAAGCGUAUUUUUAAAGCUCCGAACGUCAGUAAAUUUUCUACAAACUGAAAAUAUAAACUAAUAUGUACGUAGAGAAGGGAUUACAGUGCUGACCUCUUGGCCAGGCUCGAGCUUUAUUUUCAAUAACUUGUGACCAGCCUCCUCAAAAUCCACACUUGACAUGAUUGUAAGAUAUAUCGUUCUCCGCAGAUUAAUAAGAUUGGUCUCAGUUCUGUCCUUAAUUUCCAUCUGUUCUUCGUCCUCUUCCUCAGAUUCCUCUUCAUCCUCAUCAUCUGAGUUAGCAUCAGAACCUCCUUCUUCUUCUUCAGAGGAUUCUGCUCCCAGGAUACUUUUCUUAAGGUCUUCAUAAGCCUUCUCGUCCUCUAAGAACUGCGGAUUUGGCUUAAAAACAUCAAGAUUUGUCUCAGGAUCUAGAUCAUCUUCAAGCGAUAUCUCAUGGGUAAACUGAUCCUCCUGUUCCACGAGAUCCAACUCCGGUCGGAUAGCAGGGAAUCCCUGAAACUUGGCCUUCCUAAUUGCGAACAAGCCUUCAAUUAAGAACUGAACCCUUUUAUCUAUUUCACCUUCGUGUAGAAUCCCACGAAACCGCUCAAAAAUCCCGUGAAGGCCCAUAGGCGAAAUGUCCUGCAAUAAAGCGCCGCACUCCUUAACAAACCCGACGGCCACUUCAACACUAUCGUCGGUGGGAUUUUCCAGGAGAACAGUGAGAAGCUCCAAAGCAACGAGCUCGUGCGCGACGAGCUGAUUCACCAGAUGAGCUAUGAACUUUGUCGCGGCAAGCAGCUGCGGCUUGUCGUUCCGUUUGUAAGCCCUCUUGAGCUGCAGCACGAUCCUGACCAAGAGAAGCCGGCCGACCUCAGGGAACUUCGUAUUGACGAUGGCGACCAACGCGGCGAACACAUCGGUGAAGCCCGGCGAGGCCAUUUGGGACUUCAUACAGGAUCUGCAGAAGAGGCCCCUCCCGCGAAUUAAGUUCUCGGAGAAGAGCUCGGGGAUGAUGUUCUUGAUGUUGGUGGCAUUGACCUUGUUGACGAGCCCGUUGAUGCUCUUGCGAAGGGCAUCCCAGCUCAAUCUCUGAUACGCCUCGCUGCUCUUGUCCUCUACUUCCCGCAUCAUCUGCGCCAUCCUAUGCGGCGGGAUGUAGAUUCCGCCGGUCCGUCCGGGAAUUGCUUCCGGAAUCGGCGGCGGGGGCGGCGGGGGCGGCGGAGGCGGCGACUCGGUCGCGGCCUUCCUGGGCUGUUCCUUUCGCGGCCUCGCCUCUUCUUCUUCUUCUUCUUCUUCCUUGCUAUACCUAGACCUGCGGCGAUCCCUAGGGCUCUGGUCGCCCGCGCUGUUACUGCGCCGGUGCCGGUCUCUAACCCUAGACUCUCUCCCGCGAGAUCCCUUUUCGCGGUCGCUUCGCCGCCUUUCCCUGUUAGGCCUCUCUUCUUCGUCGUCGUUGUCGUCGUCGCCGUCGUCGUCCUUCCCUCUAGAUCUCUCGCGCCUCCUCCUAGGGCUUACGUCGUCAUCAUCGGGUCGCCGCUUCCUCUCCUCCCUCCUGCUCCGAUCCGCUCUCCCGUUGUCGUCGCCGUUCUCCUCCUCCCUACGGUGCCUCCUCUCCUUCUCCUCCUCGUCUCCGCGGCGGCGGCGAUGGUGGUGGCGGCGGAGCCGCUCCUCCUCCGGCGAUCUCCGCCGCCUCCCUCGCCCCCCGGAGUCGGAUCCGCUCCCCCCGUCGUCGUCGUCCUCGUUCUCGGAGCUGCUGCGGCGGCGGCGGUGGCGAUGCUCCCUCCUCCCAUCUCGGUCGCGGCGGCGGCGGCGGCUCUCGUCCUCCGCCGCCUUCGCCGGAACCCUAGAGCCGCGCCCGUUGUGGGCGGCGGAGGCCUCGCUCUCGCGGCGGCGGGGUCUUCUCUCGUCGGAGUCGGAGGAGGGAGAAGGGUCGGAGGAGGAGGCGGCGGCCAUGAGAGCUGUUUUGAGCAGUUUCGCGUUGUGGGCUUCAAAUUUCACGGGUCGAAAUCGAUGAGGUCGGCGAGGAAAGAAUACCCUUUCUUUCGAUCAGAGUAAACGGUCGCGAUUGUCCCUGAGAAAAGAUCCACGGUUCUCCUUAAUUCUCUGCAGUUAUUUUUUUAGGGAUAAUGCUAUCUAGUGAAAAUUUGUUUUAGAUUUCAAUAUUGACUUGCCACUGACUCCAAAAAAAAAAAAAAAAUCAAAAAUCAAAAAUUUUAAUUAUUAUCUCGAUAUGAAUUUUAUAAAAAUAAGAAGUUGAUAAGGUGUUUAUAAUUUAGCUUGGCAAUUGUUCGAACCCAUGACAAUUGAUUUCUUGCACCCAUUAUAAUCUGCAGUGUGUAGCUAAUGUUUUGAUGCAGAAUAUCUUAAAAUUUAAAUCUAAUACGACAAAUAUAUUUUACAAAAUCUAAUUUAUACAAAUUUUAAUAUGUGACUAUGAGAAAUCAAUGGUCUAGUUUAUUAUUUUUAAGUUUGAAUAUAGGCCUUCUAUUCUAAAAAAGAAUACAUCUACUCUACCACUAUAUAGCACGGCGACGGUUGCCAGAUCAAACAUUCAUAAAACAGCCACCAUACAUAAUUCGAAAGUACUUCUCUAGUACAAGCGGCAAAAGACUCGGUGGUUGGUACCCAAGGUUUCAAGUUCAAAUCCUAAUUGAUUCAUAUUUUCUGCUAAAUUUAUUUCUAAAUGAAAUAAACGAAGCGAAUAGCAAACUUACUAUCUCUCUCAAAAAAAAAAAAAAAAAAGUAUUCGAAAGUGUUUUGAACCCUUCCUCAUUCAGUAUUAUAGAUUUGUAUAAUAUUGAACAUUGAAAAGGAGAAGAUUGAAAACUUGUUUAUACUAGUUCUUUCAAAGUAUAAAAACAGAUGCUUUUUAAAAAUACAAUCCCAAACUAAGCUAGAGCCAUAAAUUGUUAGCUACUGAAACACUAAAAACCAAAAUAAACCACCACAAAAACACUAUGCAGAAAAAGCUAAAUAGGAAUCCUCUAGUAAAUGUAAGAGGUAUGAGCAGUGUCACAUUCUUGUUUUGCCCAUGAGGGAUCCACUGCUAGCAAAACAGUUCACAAUUGUCUUCACAAUUGUCUAUUGUCUGACUGGGUGUAAUUUUGCAAGAGAUCCCAAGGGCCUAAUUAUACAUGAGACUCAGACUGAUUAUUGAUAACUAAGGGUGAUCUACGCAUCAAAUCCUAAAGGGAGGGCACGUUGUCCAGGACUAGUCCAAGGCUUCUUCCUCACAAUGUCUCCUGAUUCCUGCUGAUUCGUGAUCGGCGCACUCUGAGGAAGAAAACCAACACAUUAACUGACAAAGAGUUUUGCCAAUGGUAAUAAACAGACUUGACGAAGAUUAAGAGGUGAAAGAGGCAGUAAGAUCUUCUCUUAAUACAUCUUACUUCAUGAUGAAGGUUGCAUCUCCAUUUCUCCCAUGUUUUGUCGGUUUUCCUCAGACGUGCUCCUGUGAGUGUUCAAGGACACCUUUGAAUCUGGAAUUUAGUUUUCCGACAUAAGAGGGGUUAAUCAUAAUCUUUGGUAGAAGUUCUAUAAUUUGAGAGCAUAUCUAUAAUUUGAGAGCACAAGAAAGGCACCUCAUAUCGGUUUAAGAAGAAACAUACCAGGGUCAAAUGAAGCAGGUGACAGCGGUGAUUCUUCUUUUACAGGUGCCACCGACUUUUCCGAAGGCUUGUGGAAGAGCAAACGAGCCACCGUCCUGUCUAUGGGAUUGGUAUAUGUUUCUGCAUUGCCCAUUUUAGCACAUCUGAAAACGACAGCAAGAGUAUUUUAAGGCAAACUUAUCAUCUGGGUAAAACAUGAGAACACAAACUCGGAAUGUAAUUACUUAAGAAGAAUUUUGAAAAGCCUUUCUAUGGGAAAAAAUGAAAAUAGUCGUUGAAAACUAUAAGUAUAUAUCACAAUGCAUGACUACAUGAGUGCCCAGAAAUUGUGAAUGGGCUCAUGCUAACCAGGGGCAAAGCCAGAGUUCAAUAUUAAUGAGGACAAAAGCAAUACAACAGAAAAUUUUAAUGACAACAAUUUUUUAUUUACUUUGCACUUAUCAACCGAUUAAUUAAUUUUAAUGUGGUUUACGGUGCACUGGGUCUACCAAUAUUUUGGAAGUUAGAUUGGGCACAUCUUCUUUGGACAGUAGCAUAUGCUCAUGCAUGAACUGCAUACAUGAAGACUUUUAACAAGCCGUAUCACAAAGGGCAAUUAAUGUUUGCAGAAGAUGCCAAUUCAAAAUUGUCUCCCAUAUCAUAUUCAUGUCUCACAUGGACUACUCAACACCAUGGCAAUGCACCCUCCAUUAUAAAAGGCACGCAUUCAUCAAGUUGUAAUGAAGUGCGGAACUCAGCGUAACUGAAUUUAUUUAUUUCUCUCUGUUUGGUAUUUAGAGAAGUCCAUUUAAGGUAGUUUAUGUGGACUCUUCAGGCAAAAAAGGGUGGUUAUAACCAUAAGACUUCAUGUAUCUAGUUCAAAUGAACAUAAAGGUGAGUACUUGAACUGUGAUUUCUUCAUAUUUCCUAUUAUUUUUCGGCAUUUUUUUCCAUGUAUUUUCGUUGAUAGCACAUCAAGUUAAUCCUAAAUUUCAACAAGGCUCAUGAAAAGACUCUCUCACACAAGGUAAUAUUUGGUCAAAUUUGUAUUUUCAUAAUAUGACAUUGUGUAGAUCUAUGCAAUAAGAUUGUACAACUGUCUCCAAAAUUUCACUGUAACAGAAUAAUAUAAAUAUGGGUAUGUAUUAAAGGACAGUGCAAGCAUCAAAUAGUUAGAUGUUUCCCCACAUCAUGAUCUAGAUUAGAAAAUCAACUCUAAAUGAAAAGAUAAAUCUAGAUAUAUUAUCUCACGUACCUUUUUCUUCUACUUGUUUCAUCACUUUCUGAUACUUCAUCAUCAUCUUUGUUAUUUGUAUUAGUACUACUUCUAUCACUAGCACUUUGCCUUUCCAAGGCACUUCGAGCUAAACGAAGCAAACUAUCCCGAAUGCAGAACCGAACUCUUAUGUCCAACUGUAAGGAAACCCAUUUGCUAUUAGUACUAAGCUAACAAACAGGAAUUCGUCUGCAACAACUUCACCAUAUGGUGAUGCAGAAAGAGAAAAAGCCAAACCUUUAUUAAAAAACUAUAUCUCAAUAAAUGGCAAUACACAAAAUCCAUAGGUCCAUUCCAAGUUCUUUUGCAUAUGUACAAAUACAUGGAUGCAAAACUAUGUAAAUACGCCAGAAAAUUUGGUACUUCUGUGGGUACCUCUGUGGCUUCCUUGCUUAUUUAAGGUCCACCGUUGCAUGGUAUUUAUGCAAAAAUAGUUUUUGCAUAUAUACCAACAAUGGCAUGCGUGCAAAUAAAUAGUCUUUUGGGGGUGCAUAUACCAACUUUGCAAGGUACUAGCACAAUUUUGCAUAUUUGCAAGGGAAUAUAUGCCACUUCAAAAGAAAGCAUACCUUUCCCAAGGCAUCUUGCAGCUGAUAGUAUAUCCUUUCUUCCAAAUAGGGAUCAUCCCCCAUUGUGGAGAUUUUCUGAGACUCAUCAUGGGCUCCCUGAUUGGUCAUCUCUGAUGAUGAUACCAUAUUCGUAGCGCCUUCAACUACAUCUGAACUGGUUAGAGAAUCCCUAUUUUUUUUCCUUGGAGAAACUGCUUGAGGGACCAGAGUAUCACCACCAGAGACUUGGCCAAACUGCUGUUGUUGCUGUUGAAUUGCAAGCAUUGCCUGCAUUUGCUGUCGCCGCCUCAGCUUUUCAAUCUUUUCUUGAGGUGUCAUCAUUAGUGACCCUAAAGGUACAUCCGGAAUCUUAUCUAAAGAUUUUGAAUUCUUUGAGGAAUCUAGAAAUGUUUUAUAGACAGCAGAAGGCAGUUUUGAUUGGGCCCUAUCAGCAUAAAUAUUUGGCAUCUGUGGUAUAGAAGGAAAUGAACACGCAGGAUAUCCAUAGCCAGAAAUCACAAACUGAUGAGAGUGGGCAAGUUGUCUUAUUUGCUCGGCUUUCCCAGCUUGCGUGUGUUGACCAACAGCAGGAGAUUGAAAAGUUUGUAGAGGAGCUUUAACAAAUGUCUGCAUAUUAGGGCUUGUAAACUGCUGGCCUCGGUUAUUUUCGUGGAGAAUGCCACCAAUUGAAUGCUGGGGAAAUUUAUUCUUGCUUCUUUCUUCUGCCUUCUUACGUGAUUUUGGUAGUCUCUUCGGUAUAUCACGCUGCAAAAAAGAAAAGAAGCGAAAACUAUUUAACACAAUGUAAUUUAAGAAAUGAGUAAUGAAAACUUUCACAGAAAGCAAUAAGGUUUUGCCAAUGUACUCGGAUUCCAAUGUCAACCAAACAGAAAACAAUAAGGUUUUGCCAAUGUACUCGGAUUCCAAUGUUAACCAAACUUCCUGACAAAAUGUUAUCACAAAAAUAAAACACUCGUAAGUUGCCUAACUGGAAUUCAUAAUUACUUCAGAAACUAUGGAUCAUUUAGUUAUAAUAAGCACAACUUUAAAUAGGACAGAAACAAAGGUUUAAAGUGGCGUGACACGGGGGUGUGCCGUUAUGUCCCUGGCACAAUAAGACACAGGCACACUUGCGUGCCGAUAGAUACGCAUACCCUCCUACUGGCACGCUUUGGCACGAACUUAUUUCAAUUUUUUUUUUUAUUCCAGUAAACUCUUAUAAUGUUAUUUUGAAAGAUUUAAAUAAAUAAUUAUGAAUAUUUACUAUGUAUACCUUACUAUACUCAUCAAUUAACAUGCAUGUAAGCUUUUUGUAAGUAAAGUACGACUAUACCUGAUAUGGAUAGAAAUUAAAAUACAAUAAUAAAAUUCACAAGUACAAUAAUUAUUUAAAUUUACAUCAUUACAUAGAAAUGACUGCUUAAUUCCACAUAGAUUGUCGCGCUUGAUCAUAUCGCAUAUUGUCAUCUGCAGAUACAAGAUUUAUUUGAUAAUGUUGAUAUAAGUAUUGCUGGUAUUGUGAGAAAGUCAUAUAUUCCCGAUAUUAUAUUCAUAUUUUUUGUUCUUUUAUUCUUUUAAAAAUAUCUGAUCAAAAUUUGUUUAGAAGAUCGAUUUUUGUUCCCCUGAUUCACCGAAAGCUUCGCGGUGUAACAAAUUUUGAUAAAAUAUUUUGCGAAGAAAAAAUGGACAAUAUAGGUGGCCCGGGGGGGCUCAAUACCCCAAAGAACAAAAGAAAAAAGAAAAAGCAAAAAAAAAAGCCAAAAAGGGAAAAAAAAAAAAAAAAAAAAAAAAAAAAAAAANACCUGCGCGUGCCACUUUGUCUCGAGCAGCACGCAUGCGCGUGCCGUCAGACGGGGGGGGGGGCGCGUCCGAGAAACCCCCCUGUACCGUGCCCCCUUCUUGAGGGCACGGUACGGCACGCCCCCGUGCCGUAUGGCACGGGCAGCACUUAAUUCCUUAGCAAAAACAGCUAUUAUAUCUUCAAAUUGUUGAAGAAGUAUUUCAAAAUUUCAACAAUUUAAAACAACAGAACCAACUUAAAAAGAGAACAUAUAAGCUUAACUAAACAAAUAAACUAUAAUUUGCAUCUUAUCCUUAUUAGACACCUACUGUCCUUAAAAUAUAAGCAGCUCAAGAUUUUUACUUAUUGGUUGUUAGUGACAGUUGCAUAUGGAAACUGCAGUGUAUUUUAGAUCAUUGUAUGGAUCGUAGUAAUUGCUUUUGGUGUAAUUAACUACCUUCUCUGCAGACUGGCUUGGUUUUCCAGAAUAUUCACUGGUAGCAUGAUUCUCGCGUUUAGUCUGCUCAGCAUAUUUGGCAUUAACAUCCCCUACCUGCCAAAGUGGACAAAAAAAUCAUCUGACUACUAAUCUGCUCGAGGGCUUUUUUUGCAUUUAGUCCCUCUCCAAAAAAAAAAAUUACAAGUGACCCUAACAAAGUUAUAUUUGCACAUAUGGCCCUCCCCUUGCCACGAGAGCGCCACGUUUGUAUUUUUAAAUUGAACACGGCGAAUGAAUCACCGUAUUUAAACACGUGAUUGAAUCACCGUAUUUAAACACGUGAUUGAAUCACCGUGUUCACAUCCACACUCUAGUCCCUCCUUUUUUACUUAGAGACAAAAAAAAAUACAAAAGGGAACAUGGUGAUCCAAUCACCGUAUUUAAAUACGGUGAUUGAAUCAUCAUGUUCAACUUAAAAAUACCACCUAAGCGCUCACGUGGUAAGAAGAGGGUUAUUUAUGCAAAUAUAAAUUUAUUAGGGCCAUUUGUAAAAAAAAAAGAUUUUGAGGGAGCUAAAUGAAAAAAAGCCCUCUGCUCUAGAAUUACUAUACGUGAAAAAUAUGCCAGCUCCCUCUGAACAUUAGCACAUUACAUGUCACUACCCGAACUUUAAGAAGUUAAUAUAAACUACAUAAACUUUGUUACUGUUUCAAUCAACAACCUAUCCCGAGUUCCGUUAACUUUUUUCUCAAAAAUUUCGAAGCACAUUAAAUCCAAAUGAUUCGAAUAACCCUAGAAUUGUCCAAACAGUCAAAAGAAAAGGGCGUUUUAAUCAGUUGGCUUUCACAUGAUCCCAGAUUGUUUUGGAAAGUCAAUAUUACUCAGGGCUUGGUAGUUGUUGACUGAAAAAUUUACAAUAUUGUGGUUUGUCUGAUUUUUGAAGUUCAGAUUGAUAUCUGCAUUGAGAAAUCGUUCAAGGGUCUUGCAUAUUUUUUCCUUGAAAUAUAUACACAUAUAUAAAUUUGGGCGUGCACCUUCUCUUCUAGUGGAAGAACUGGUUUACUUCUUCCACCAGAAAGUUCAUUAAAAUGGACCGAGGAAGAACCAUGAUUAGAAGAUUGAUCCCUGUCAGAUAGCAAGUCCUGCUCACCAGAAUUUUCAGUGUUUUAUUAAUUCUAAGCAAUAAUCAAAGAUAAAAACAAAUACAAAGACCUCAAUAUACUGAAAAAUAUGGUAUCAAUAACUUAGGCAUGCACAUACAGGAGUAGGGAUUGAUUGAGAGGUGCUACUAAUGACGUCUGAAGAUGCAGAAACAAACUCUCCAGUAUAUCCAAUAAUUUCAUUACCAAAUAUGGGGUCACUAUUGCUGCAAGAUAAUAACUUCUAUCAGAAUUGUCAAAUCAUUGAAGUGUAGAUACUUAAAAAGUUCAACAAGGAAAUUAGAGAUAUUUACCUAAAUAUGCGGUCAAGAUCAUCAAAAUCUCCAAUAUUAGCCCAAUCACAGUCUAGAAAAUUGUCGCUCUCCAUGUCUUCAUGAUCAUUACCAAAUACUUCCGACUGACCAUCUAGCUGCACUGUAUGAUUGGUUAAAAAAAAGCUGUAUGAUGUGCUUAAAGAUCAUCCAUUCUGGUAAAGUUGUUGACUCUUAUAAAACUGUCAUAUUACCUCUUACUUUGUCCAAGUUCUGGACAGCAUUAAAGUCAUUCAAAUAUGCUGUUGCCAUCGAGUCAUGAUCACUUUCAUUAUUGUAACUUCUACCAAGUGCGGCAUCUAAAGAAGGAAGAUCUGGCCAUGAUUCUAGUUCAAGUUGGGGAGCAGACAGUUCCCCAUUUGUUUGAAGCACCGGCUGGUUUUCGACGUGACGCCCUUGGUAAUCAGCAUUAGACCGAGAGGUUUGCUCAGUGGACGCAAAUACGGUAUUUUCUUCAGUUUUCUGCUUCUUAUUAUAAUCUGCAUAAGUAAGUAACCUAUUUUCUUCUGUGCCCUUAGGGUAAGGGACAAUAUGGUCUUCACUCUCGCUGAAUUCAGCCCAUAUUGUGUCCCCGACCUGAAAUUUUAAGGUAUUUAUGCAAGGACCAUUAUAAGCCUCUCUUGCGAAAUUAGGAAGCACCAAUAAAAAAGGCUGCUUGCGAUUAUAAUACAUACUUUGUAAAUAUGAAAGGAAAUUAUGACAUAGUACUUGGAUAUGAAACAAUAAAAAGCCAAAUAUAUCUAGCCAAAAUAUACAUGAAGAAGACAUGACGACUAGAACGAUUCACAUUGUUUCUGUUAAGAUCUGCAUUCUACAAUUACAGGCCAAUUUUUUAGUACUGAAAGCAGAUCUACAAUCAGUCAAAUAUCAAGGAAAGCUAGAAAAACAUAUGAUCAAAAUUUGUGAGAUUCAAAGAUUAAUUCAAAGCUGAUAGUCCACAGUGAUGUAAAUAUAUAAACAUAUCAGUUGAAUUAUAACAAAUACACAUAUAUAUACAUACAAAUACACACACACACAUUCGUAUCAGUUGCAUCACACACAUUGCUAAAUCUUAUGAAGAGGACUUAACAAAUAAACUCAAUAGAAACUAGAUGAUAAAACACCAACACAGCAUCUGAUUUAGAGGUCCUUUCCUUACGAAUUGAGUAAAUCAAUAAAGGUCUAGAUAUAACAGCUCAAGACAAGGUUUUGAAACAAUUAUGCUUCAAUAGUAAGUCACAUAGAAGCUUGUAAGGGUUUGAAGUAGGAAACAUCAACACUUUAAAAGUGUUUCCAUGUCCGUGUCCAAUACGGUUCCUAGGGUGACACUAUACAGACGUAUCCAUCAUGUGUUCACUAUCCACCGACUCACUGGCCAAGUGUCCAUUCCAUGCUCACAUCAUCCCCCUCAUGAUCCUACACCUCCCUCGCAUUUCCUAGUAUGUUGAUUGCAUAUCCGCUAAUAACAAAACAUAAGAAUUUUUAAUAUCCGUCUCCCUUAUAGUUAUUCAGAUGAUUGACUUUGUGGUUAAGUAUUCAGAUGAUUGACUUUGUGGUUAACGUCAUUAUUCUAGGGUUUUAUGAUGGAUUUUCCAUGCUCAGUUUCCUAACUGUAGAGUAGAUCAGCCAACUAAUUUGGUGCCAAAGGUAAACCAACCUAUUGUGUUCUAAUCUAGUAAAAUGCCGUGGUUGACCAGACUAAUAAGAUCCUAUGAUUAAAAUUCUCAUCCUGUUCCUUAUAGAGCUUGUAAUAGACCAAUCUAUCAUGCCAAUUGAAGGUUUGAUCAACCCAACUGAAGCAGAUUUUUGCGGUCAAAGUGUCAGAUGUGUGGUUUGCAGAGAAGAUUGCCAACUAGUCUGACACCCUAGUCUAACAGACAAGAACUGCAGACAUAGGUAUCUAUUGGGAUCUUUUGAUUUUUAAGAAUGUUUUUGGCUCUAAGACCUGUUCUUGUGCAAUAUUUGGCCAAGAUAAAAAAAUGGAUUAAUUAUCUAUUUUGAGGAGCAAAUCUUAGCUGGGUAAGUAGGUUGGUCAUCCAAGUUGGCAUUUGGCUUCAAAAAUAUAACAGAACUUGUAAGAACAACUUUGAAGAACAGUAGAUGUCACAUAUUUGUAUCUUGUAUGUUAAACUAUUUAAAGAUAAUUGUUUUUGCAGUGAUAUUCAUACUCUUCAACAUGGUGGCAUGCUCAAUAAAAUGCUUGGAUCAUGAUCUUGUACUCCAACCUCUAUAUUACAUCUCGAUUUCAUAACCACAUUUGUCAUGAAUAGCCACCUGAAACCAUGCCAGUCUUUUGCUGAUUACUUUAGACCGUCUCUAUGUUAACAUUCACAUUUUAUACAAAUAUACUUGCAGCAGUUUUGUUUCAUAUCCUUCAAAUUGUAGGAAAUAUGUUCACGACUAGUCGUUCCAAGUUUGAUCAUGAGACCUGAAAUCUUAAACUCGAAACCCCAUUUCCAAUCUUGACUCUUCUCUCUUUUUGAUCUUCCUCAUUUAACAAAGACCAGUGGUUGUCUAAAGAGUCAACUAGGAUGCCCGAAGCAUUAUUUCAAUACAAGUGGAAUAUAAUGAUACCACUAGUGAAGGGACAAAAACUUCCAUAAAAGUACCACGCUACGCCUCAAACACAACAUCCUUUCUUCCUACUUUUACUUCAGUAUGUAUUUUAACAUUUGAUGUAUCCAAAGCAUGAUUGACAAAAAGAAAUCAAAGAUUAAAUCCCUUAGAUCUGUCAUUACCCAUCAUUUUCCUAACGUUAGAUUGGUUGUUUUUACACAAUGAAGGAGGAUGUGUAUUACGAAACAAUCCCUAUAUAGAGUUUGUUCCUUGAUAACAUCCACGUAUGACUACUCAACCCCCCUAAAGCAGAGCAACACAUCUAUCUAGUUGGAAAACCAAAGUUCCAAAUAUAUUUCAUCCUAAUGACGAAAAACAACAUAUAGAUAGAUUUGUAGAUACCUCAUCUUGCCAUAACUCCAAAGACACAUACAACUCAUAAUCUUCAUCUGUAAACACUUCUAUAAUCUAAUAAUUGAAAAAUUGGUUCCGUGUUCCUUCAUACAUAGUCAAAACCCUUUAUUUGCAUAAAAAAUAAAAAAAAGGACCCCUAAUUCCUAUCAAGCAGCUACUAACCAUCUUUCCCAUAUCAACAUAUUCAUUUCACCAAAUCAAUGAACUUAAAAGGCAUAGAACAAUAGCAAAUUAUGCAAAAAAAAAGAAAGAAAAAAAAAGACCAAAUACAUCAAGAAACUGCAAGAAUUAAACAAAAAUAAUAAUAAUAAUCAUAAAUACUAGGAAAAAAUUAGCAGGUCAUCUUACAUAUCGACCUACACAUUUCACCAAAUAAAUGAACAAAACAGACAAAGAACAACAGCAAAUUACCCAACAAAACAAGACCUAGUUUAAGCUAAUAAGCACACCCAGAAACAGAAAGAAAUUAUACAAAAACACCUGAAAAAUAGGGACAAAUUACUGUACCAUCUUUACAUGUCGAUCUACUCAUUUCACAAAAUCAAUGGCUAAACAAUGAAAGAACAAUACCAAAUUAUACGACAAAAUUGGAUAACAUUUAACCCGAGAAACACAUCAAGAAUCAACAAUAAGUUAACCAAAAACAAACCACAAAUGGGGAGAAAUAAUCAGACGACAUAUACAAGUUGAUCUACUCAUUUCACCAUAUCAAAGAACCAAACAACCAACAAAUAUUAUCAAACUAUUCAGCAAAAUAGGCGAAAUUAAGCCAAAAAAACACCAAGAAACAGCACUAAUUCAACCAAAAACACACGAAAAAUGGGAAGAAAUUAUCGGACCAUCUAUACAAGCCGAUCUACUCAUUUCACCAUAUCAAAGAACCAAACAAGCAACAAAUAUUAUCAAACUAUUCAGCACAAUUAGGCGGAAUUAAAGGUAACAAACACAUCAAGAAACAACAAUAAUCAAACCAAAAACACACGAAAAAUGGGAAAAAAAUUAUUGGAAAAUCUGUACAUGUCAAUCAACUCACCUCACCAAAUCAUAUUAAAAAAAAAAAAAAACUAUACAGCAAAAAUUAGACCACAAUUAAGCUAACAAACACAUCAAAAAACCCCGAUUACUUAAACCAAAGUACAUGAAAAAUUAAGCAACCAAAAUUAAAGGGGAAAAAAAUUACGAAGGGGUGAUGGAUUCGAUUGAAGGGAACCUGAUCUUGAUCGUUCCAAUCAAACAUGUUCGAAGCAGCGAAAAAUCUCCGACCCCGAUCUCAGAAGCUUAAAACGAUCCCAAUCCGAAACGCACAUCUCCAAAACCCUUCGCCUCUGAAUCCACUCUAGCAGAAGCACCUCCUCUCUCUCUCUCUCUCUCUUCCCCCGUUCUUUGGCGUCUCACGCGGACUCACAAAUCGCUACUUCCCGGUUUACUGAGGCCUAUAGAGCCAUCUGUGGACCCGGUCUGCCACGUCACCAACAACCAUUUCGAAAUGUGGUUUUAGAGAAGUUUUAUCUAUAAAUAAAAUAAAAUUGUAAAAUUUUAAAUAUAUGGGCUAAUCAGAUAUAGAAUAUGUUCGUAUUUAAAAUUAAAAUUUCACACCAUUUGCUUUAUAGUGGGACAUUAGGUGUCGUCCUUAUUAUGUUCUUUUCAAAAAAAAAUCGUUCGAUGGUAAUAAAUAAUAAUAAUAAUAUUUAUUAUUUCUUACGUAGAAAAUAAAUUUUAUAGUUUAUAAUUUUUAAAAUAUUUAGAUUCAUAAUUAUUAAAUUAAAUGUAUGCAGUUCAAUGCUAUUAGCUCCAAAUAUUGACAUUAUAAAAAAGAAAUAUUUCAUUUUAUUUACAUUGCAUUACAAAAUGCAGUUUAAUUUUCAAAAAUUUAAAAUAUCCACAGUAGGAUUUUUCGGAAAGCAGCUGUCGGUGGACCCGGUGCACCGGCAAUUUCUCGGGCGGUUUAGAGGGAUGGAUGGGUGCGCCCGUGAACACGUGUCGGUACGGCGCUGGUUCGGUUCGGGGAGCACGCGAGGGAGCGCCACGUGUAGGUCCGCAUCUCGGGUAGUGGCGGAGAGGGGUCGAUCAAAUGCGCGGCGCUGAUUGGCUGCGUGGGAGUGGGGGGUUCUCCGGAGUUUGGGUUUCAAUUCGCGAAAAGGGAUUAGAAUUUGAAUUUGAGUUUUCGAGGUAAAAUUGCAUGAUGACGCCUUCAACUAUACCGAAUUCUGAAAUUAACACCUAAUUUUGUUUUUAGAUUAAGGUACCGUUUGGUUCGGGUAUAAACAAGAACUAGCUAUUAUAGGGAUAGGUACAAGUAUGGGGAUAAGAAAAAUAGCGUUUGGAUGAAAAUUGGGUUGUUCCCGAGGAUAAGAAAAAUAUUAGAAAGUUUUAUAUAAAAAAUAGAGGUGUUGGUGGGGAUAACCGAGAACUACUAUUCUCGGGUAAAAAAUUAGCGUUUGGGUAUAAAGGGGGGGAUAAGGGCCUAUCCCUAUCCCUAUUCCCAAACCAAACGGUGCCUAAAAGUCUCUUGACCGCUUCUAUUAUUUUUAAAGAUUAAUUUCACCCAGAUCCCUAUAAAUACAGUGAUUGACAAAUAUAUUCUUAUAAAGUUCAACUUUCAUAUAUUGUCCCAAUAAAAGUUCUAAUAUUUUUAUAUAUAUCUUUCUGUUUUGUUACCGUUAGAGAACUGUUUAUAUUUUUUAUUUCACCAUCACAAAUAUAUCCCUCCAAAAUUCAUAACAGUAUAAUAUAAGAGAGAUAAAAAUAUCAAAAACUAACCAGAAUUAAAUAUUUAACUUAUAGUUAACUAAAUUUUUUUAUUAGAUUCUAACGAUAGAGACAUAUUUGAAAACAUCAGGAUUUUUGCAGGAACUUAUAUGAAAUUAGCCCUAUUUUUAAAUUUGAAUUGCUAACUUAAUAUCUCGAUUAGCUAUUAGCAAGUAAUUAGUCUAAUUACAUCUGCUAAAAAGUACAAGGCCACUAAGUUUGAACGAAUUAUCAAUAAAUUUGAUAAAUUUCUUAAUUUAGUUCGCUAAUAUCAUUCAGUUCCAAAAUACUUGAUUCUUUUACUCUUAGGGUGCGUUUGGUUCGCGCUAUCUUUUAAAAAUUUCUAGUAAUCCAAUGGGAAUAAAAAAAAUAUGACGGUAUUUGGUUAAACGCACUAACUAAUCUAGUUGGUAAUAUUGAAUUCACUUGGAAAUAAGAUUCACCCCAAAGUACUAAUCUUAUUCCCUUGAGUGAGGGUGGGUAUCCUCAUAUUAAUAGAUUGGGGUAAUCAUAAUAUGUCUAAUCUCUUUCUUUCUUCCUACCUGCCGGCUAAUUUAUAUUAUUUUUCUUUACACUCUAACCUUAUAUCUCUCUCUAAACUUAUUUUUCUCUCUAAAAUUCAACUUUUUUUUCUCUCUCUAAACUAAGCUUUCUCUCUCUCUUUCUAAAAUUUCAACUCUCUCACUCCCUCUAAUUUUGACUAUAUUUUUCUUUCUAUUUUUUUAAAUUAUGCUCUCUCUCUCUCUCUAACUUAUACUCUCUCACCCUUUUUCCUAAAAAGAUGUUGAAACUUUUGAUAAUAUUAUCUAAAAUUAAUUAAUUAAAUAAAUAAAUUAAUUGUAUAUUUUUUGUAAUAUUAAAUAACAUGGCUAAUUAAUAUUACCGUGCGAACCAAAUAUAGAAAUUUUACAUUCUUAGUAAUAUGAUAAAUAAGAAUAAGAUUCUCGGAUAUCUUUUAUUCCUAGUAAUCUGCGAACCAAACGCACACUUAAUUUGUUAGUUAGCUAAGUUAAAAUUUUUGUCAAAUUUAAUAAGUCAAUCAGCUAUUAGCAGUUGAUUAUUCUGGUUUUAUUUGCUACAAAGCAAUUAAAACAUUAAAUUAGAUAAAACCAUUAAUUAAAUUUGAUAAAAGUCCUCAAUGUGUUUGAAAAUUUCAUAGUUCGCUAAAGUAAAAACUUUGUUGAAUUUAACAGCUCCAUUAGUUACCAGCGUCAGAUUAAAUUUUUUACGGAGUACUUGAAGUCAUUAAAUUUAAUAUAAAUUAUUAAUAAAUUUAGAAAUAUUUUAAUUUAUUUUUGUAAAAUUAAUUAAGGUUAAUAACAUCAUUGGUCCUCAACCUCUGUACUAUUUUUCACUUGAGUCCCCAACAUUGUUUUCGCAAUCAAGUCCCAAUCUCUUGAUUUUAUUGUAAUUGCGUCACAACCGUUAAAAAAAGGAGUUAAAAUUAAUGGAAUCACCAUUUUAGUGCUUUUUUUUGUAUGUUAAUUUUGGUUCCUAAACUUUGCUCGUUUUUUUACUUUAGUCUCUAAAAAUAAAAUUUUAAUUUUUUAAAUUUAAAUUCAAAAUUAAUAUUAAAAUUAAAAUUUAAAACUAAUAAGAAAUUAUAAUUUUGAAUUUGAAUUGAAAGCUAUAAUUUUGAUUUAAAUCUGAAUUAAAAUUCAAAUUUUAAAUUGAAUCUAAAUUUUGAAUUCAAACUUAAAUUUUUUAGUUUAUUUUUGAUUUUUGAGUUUGCAUUUAAAAUCAAAAUUUUAAAACUAAAAUUUAAAUUUAAAAUCUAAAUUUGAAUUUAGAAUCAAAUUCAAAAUUUGAAUUUUAAAUUUUAAAUUUGAAUUUGAGAUCUAAUUUCAAUUCUAAAUUUAAAAAUUUAAACUUUGAAUUCAGAUUCACAUUUUGAAUUUAAAAUUUCAAUUCAAAGUUUGAAAUUAAAUUAGAAUUAGACAAAAUGUGAAUUUGAAUUUCAAAUUAAAUACAAAAUUGAAAUUUGAAUUCAAAUUUAAAUUUGAAUCCAAUAUCAAAAUUUAAAUUUAAAAUUUAAAUAUUAAAUAAAAAUUUUGCUUCGAAUUUAUAAUUUAAUUCAAAAUAUAUUUUAAAUUAAAAUUGUAUAAUCAGUUGGCAUUGAUAUAACGCUUCCGUGGCACUAAGAGACGCCUCCAAGGCGACGAUAUAGUGCUGACGUGAUAUUUUUCGUCAAUUUUAACCUCAAUUUUGACGACUGACAUUUAAUUACAAUAAAAUCAAGAGGUUGAGGAUUUGGCCGUAAAAAAAAAAAAAAUGGAGACCAAAGUAAAAAUGGGGCCAAAGGUUGCGGACCAUUGGUGUAAUUAACCCACUAAUGGGUAUUAAUUCCAAGAAACUAAAAACUAAUAAGAGGGCAUCAAUUGAAAAGUAAAAGUUUUGGGAGCGAAUUAUAAAUAACAUAUAGGUGAGGUGUCUCCAUGCAUUUUUACCUGCACGGUUGUUUUCUGGAACUUUCCAGCAAGUGGGGGGCGGGGAUGUGUUGGGCCGUCGCUCUCGAUUGACCCAUCCACGUUUACUGGCGUCGCAUGCUCUUAUCUUAUCCGCAUGGUGGGGACGUUAACGGAUACGGAUUUUGGAAAUGUUAUUCGAACCCGAAUUCAAAUACAAUGGAUUUAAUUCGAUUCAAAAGGAAUAUAAAUAUAUAAAAUAAAAAUUUGGUGAAUUUGAAUUCGGGUAUAGGCUUUAUGUGCAUUCAAUCCGAGCCCCAACUUGUCCAAACUGAAUUGAUUUUACAUUAUUAUAUAAAUUACAUAAGAAUAUCUGAUGUUAGUUUUGAAUUUACUUUUUAAACAUUUAAAUCUUAAUAUGAUAUGUUUUGAUAUAUGAUAAAGAGAAAUAACUAUUUCGUAUUCGGAUUUUCGAACGUGGAAUCAGAUUUCGAGUUUUCAGUUAGAUUCGAAAUUGGGUACAGAGUUUCAAAAACCGCGGAAUUCGGAUUCACAUUUCGGUUUGGUUGUCCGCUUCGGAUUUAUGUUUUUAAAAAAAUCAUCUCUUGUUAUCAUCCCUAUCCACAUGUUUGGUUUGAGAAAAAAUUAUUUUUCUAAAAAAUAUUUUUUCAUCUCUUCGUCUUGUUUCACACUUCUUUUUUUUUUUUUUUUUUNUUUUUUUUUUGAAUGGAUUAACGUCUAUAGGGUUAAGAAAGGAAAAACCGCUUUUCAACUUGAGAUUAUUUUUUCUUUUUUUAAUUUAUAAAUUCUUAACUUUUCAACUUGACUUUGGCUCAACCCACUCUCACUUGGUAAAUCUAAAUUGUAUAUGGCAGGUCGGUUGGAUUGAUUAAAAUUGGAUUAACAAAUCAAAAGGAGCUUUUUAAUUAAGAUUGAUUGUUAUUACUCUAGAACGAAUACAUUCCUAUAUAGUUUAACUUUUCAUAUUUAAUUAUAUAAAAGCUCAGUAAUAUUCAUAUUUGUUCCCUUGAUUUGUAACCAUUGGAACACUAUUUAUGUUUUAACGGGAGAUAAAUAAAAUGACAUUUUUGUUAUUUCUUUCUUUCUUUCUACCAUCAUAAAUAAUAUAAGAGAGGUAAAAAGAUUAAUUUAUCUUAUUCACUGAGGCUUCAUUUGGGAUUGCAUUACAUGCGGUAAAAAAGUACGUUGGAAAAAUACCUUAUUUGUUUCCAUAUGUAAUAUUGCGUUCCAUAUAUCGCGAUGAGUCGGCUCCACCGGAGAACGCAAAAGUAUAUUCUUAUAUGCUUUUUUCUCAACUCCAUUUUAUCUAAUAGCGCUAAAUAGACUUCAAUAUAUACCAAACUAAGCCUAAAUAGAGCUAAUUAUUUUACAUAUGGUUAACUAUAUUUGAAAAUAUUAAACUUUUAUAAAGAUAAAUAUGAAAAGUUAAACUUUAUAGAUAUAAAUUUUCUAUUCGAUAUGUUUACAAAAAGUUGUAUACAAUUAACCCAUUAUUUUAUAUUAACAUUGCUGUGUCAAUAACCUGUGUUAUGGCUAUGGUAUGAUAUGCACACAUCCUAUUUACUUUGUUAGCAUAUCGUGCACAGACGACAUGGGCUUAUCAAUAUGGGUUAAUUUCAUACAUGUCUUUAUAAAUAUAAUAAAUUAUAAAAUAUUUCUUUAAAUUUCAACUUUCAUAUAUUGUCCCAGCAAAAGUUCUAAUAUUUUAAAAUAUAUCUCUCUAAUUUUUUUAUCGUUAAACCUUGUUUAUUUUAUAAAUAAAAUGAUCGUUUUGUCAUCACAAAUAUAUUCCUCCAAAAAUCCUAACUGUUAAUUAAAAAGGGAUAAAAAGAUCAAUUUACCUCAUUAACUAAGUAGGGUUAAUAAUUUUACCUAACGGAUCCUAACGGCAAGAAUAUAUUUGAAAAUAUCAGAAUUUUUACAGAGAUAACAUAUAAAAAUUGAAUUUUGUAGAAAUAUAUUUGUAAUUUAUUAUAUUUACAGGAGUUGUAUGAAAUUAACCUUAUUUUUUAUUAUUUGUAAACAUUUUAUACAAAAUUAAUCAUAGUCCCUCAAACCAUUAAUUCUUCGGUGGUUUAGGUUGGCAAGAAUUGACUAAGAUGCCAGAAGCUUGAAAGCUCCUCUCUGGAUUGAGUGUUAAAGUUUUAGGAUAACUACAUGAAUAUAAUAAUGCUUGCGGACAGUUUAAAGUAAAACUGUUCAAAAUAUUCGGCAUUCUAUAUUCGAUUCGGACCGUAUCUGGAUUCUGGACCGAUAAAAAAUGAAUAACAUUAGGUAACAAAAGGUUACCCAUUCAAAUGUCGGAUAUUACUCCGGAUACUUUAUAUCAUACCCGACUUGGAUCGACCUGAACCCAACCUUUUAAUAGGUAGGAUUCAAUAGUUUUCAAAUCCGGACACGGAUCCAGUGAAAUACAUGAUAAUAAAUAAAAUAUAUUUGAAGUUGAGGGAUCAAUUUCAAUAGGAUUUAUAGAUAAGUGGUCUUUGUGUUUUUUCUUCCAAGUUGUUUAUUUCUUUUUUUAUAUUUUUUUACUCUUUUUUUUUUUUUUAAUUCUAGCUGUUUUUUUUACUCUUGAGUCUUCCUCUCUAAACAGGAGUCCCUAUUUAUUGCUCAAGUUAAAGAAAUGAGUAAAAAAAAAUCAAAAAUCAAAAAUCAAACCUGAGCAAUAAAUUUUAUUGGACUGUGUGCAACUAAUUAAAAUGCGAGUUUUUAAUAGUAAAAGGUUUAUAGUUUAUCCAUAAACUAUCUAUAAAAAGUAUAUACAUACGAAUAUAUGUACCAGAUCUAUAUCCGACAUAUCCAGUCUUAGAAAGAUAGUGUAUGGGUCGUCACUAUCCAGCCCCACUUAAAUAGACCCGACAGAUAAAUUAGUAAUUUAAGUAUCUAGAUUUAGACGCGACCUGAAAUUAAAUGAGUAGAGUAUUUUUUUUUAUAUCCAUUUCUUUUCAAAAUAUGGCUAUAGUAUAUCAACAAUUCAGAUCCGGUCCGCAGAUACUUUAGUUUAAAAAAAAAAUUGAAAAAAAAUCUGGUGCUUCUUUUCAUUGGGCUGCUCUGUUAUUGGGCCUUGGCCCUUUUUGUAUUGAGAUUUUUGGAGGGAAAAAGAUGCUCUUCUCAACAUUUCCUUUCUCUGAUGCAUGAACUCAGCUUUCUGAACAAAAAUAAUUAUAAAAUCUGUAUUUAAGAUUUGCAUCCAAAAGAAUACAUUUCAUUCCUUGAAAUAAUAAAAGCCCAAAAAUAGAAAAAGAAAAAAAAAACUUUUUACAUAUCGUUUGGUUCAGGAAUAAGUUUUUUUGGGUUAUUCCUGGGAUAGGUACGUGCAACUUUAGGGAUAAGCGAAAAUAAAAUUAAUUUUUUGUUUGGAUGAUAAUUGGGUUACUUCCGAGAAUAAAAAAAAUAGUGUUUGGAUAGUUACGUAGGAACAAUAGGAAUAAGACUAAUUAUAAUUUUAAAAUAAUAAUAUUUUAUAAAAUUAAUUAACAUCAAAAUAUCAAUUAAAUAAUAAUUUAACAAAUUAAUUAAUUAAUUAAUUAUGAAUACUAUUAGAUAAUUAUAAAUAUUAAUAAAUUAAUUAAUUAGAAUAUUAAUUAAUUAACCAUGAGUAUUGUUAAUUAAUAAAUUAACUAACUAUAAAAAAUUUGAUAAAUUAACAAAUUAAGUUAAUAAAUUAAUUAGUUAAUUAUUUAGUUAGUUAUAUUGAUCAAAAUAUUAAUUGGUUAAUCAAUGUACAUAAUAGUUAUUAUUAUAUAAACACCAUAAAUAAUUAAUUUUUUAAUUAACUAAUUAAUUAUGAGUAAUAAAUUAAUUCACUCAAAUAGUUAGUUAAAUAUUUAUUAUAAUAGUAAAUCAAGUGGAUAAUUAUUAAUCUAUCUAAUUAGUUAAUAAAAUAAUAUAUAAUAUAUUAAUUAGUAAUAUUUUAUUAUUAAAUUAGUAAAGGUAUAAAGAGAAGGAAUUAUUAUUCCACCAAAAAGGCGGAACAACAAUUUCACCUUCUUAAUGGGUUAUUUCAGAAUAACCCAUUAAGUGAGAGAUUAAAUAAAUCCAUUGAUUCAUUUAGUAUUUGGGUGAAUUAAGAGAUAAAGUGGUCUAUUCCUACUUUAUCCCGCAACCAAAUGCUGUUUAGAGUUUUGAGGUCAAUUUUUAUCAACACCUUUGGAUUUUGGAAAAUUCUUGCAGUUCAGAUAUUGGCCAUGCAAUGAUACCUUACUUGAAAACUUCAAAAAUGGUAUCAACAUUUAUACCGAUCGUCCCUAGAGCAAGUGGUAAAGGACUUGGUGGUUGGUAUCCGAGACCCAAGUUCGAAUCCUAAUUGAUUCACAUUUUCAGUUAAGUUUAUUUCUAAAUGAAAUAAACGAAACGGAUAGCGUGCUACCUAUCUCGCAAAAAAAAAAAAAAAAAAAAAAAAAAAAACAUUUAUAGGUUUAUCCUAAUUCCUGGGUAGAACCCAUCCAAAGUGGAGUAUUACUUAUCUAGUUCCAAAUGCAAUUAUUAUCUCUAAUAGCGAAACGACUUGUCCAUACAUAGAAAACGUGUUGUUCUGGAUUUGUUUGCUCAUAAUUAAUAAGUUGCCUUUGUGGAAUUGCAAUAUGAUGUGCACUGAGCUUUUGAUUUCGUGCAAUAAACGGCACCUUAUAAAAAAAAAAACAAAGAAAAUUACAUAAUUGUAGUGAAAAAUAUUGUAAUAAUAAAAAUAUUUUGAGAAGCAUUAAAAAAAUGUAGAAAUGAUGUAGGCAAACAUUGGAUGCUGAUGCAUAUGAUGUGAAGUAGAAUUAUUUGAAUUGCAAAAAAAAAAAUCAAAGGAAUUAGAUUAACAUACUAUUCAAUUUAACAGUUAGAAAACUAUUCGGACACAAUUAAACCUAUAAAUACGUUUUAGCUUAUAACUUGAUUGCAGUAGAACAAUACACAGGCAUCUACAUUUUAUUUUUCUCAGCAAUUAUUCACAAACAAAAUCACAAAUGUAUGUAUACAUAUGAUAGUAUAAAAAUCAAUUGAAAGAACAAAAUUCACAAUUUAUACUCUCCGUUAUUUCUCAUCUCUUGAUUCUCCGCUGCUGCUGCCGCCGCUGCAGUUGCUGCAGCUGCUGCAGCUGUUGCCUCCUUCUCUUCUUAGUCACGUAUUCAAACGCCUUAACCAAGCGCUUCCUGAACCUCCCAAUAUCCAACCUGACGUUCUGCCCGUCCAAGUACACCUUCUUCGUCACCUGCCAGCCCUGCGCGUUGACGCUGUCCGGAUCUUUUAAUAUUGUAGCAUUUCUGCUGUACUUCCUGUACAGCGAGCUCUCGCGCGGGAGUAUCUUGUAGGCGGCGUACCGCAGCCCGAGCUUCCGCGCGGGCUCGCCGUAGUACAUCUCCGCCGCCCAGUCGGUCCCGAGCGGCACGACCUGCACGAACACCGACCGCGGUCUCAUGAACAGAAAGUGCGUCAUCGCCGCCCCGUGCACGCCCACCAUCACGUCGCACGAGUUCAGCGCCCGGUAGAUCCUCGCCAGCUCCGUGUCCCGCUGCGGGCUCAUCACCUCCACCUCGAACCCCACCGCCUCCGCCGCCUCCACCACCUCCCGCUCGUUCUCGAUCGCCCUCGAUCCGUUCCGCGACAUUAUCACCAUCUUCGGAGCCUUCUCAUUACUUCUGUUGUUGCUGUUGCUGCUGCUGCUGCUGUUGCUGUUGUUGCGAUGUGAUUGUUCGUCGCGGUCGAUGGCGCGGACGCGCGGCGCGUAGGCUUCGUCGAGGAGGCGGCGGAAGUCGCUUAUACUCUUGUUCGACUUCGUCUUCGCCGCGUCGAUCGAUAGCUCGUCGUGGAUGCGGAGCCCGACGAUGGCCUCGGGGAAGCAGUGGGUGCGGCGGUCGCCGGAGAAGUCGAUCGGCGGGUAGUCGGAGAGGCGGGAGACGACGUGGCCGUGCUUCGUCAUCCACCAGUCGUGGUACUCGAGCAUGACGAACACCACCUGCCUGUCGAAAUGCUGCGACGUGAUGUACAGCGGGAUUAGCCCGUCGUUGAACUCGUGGUACACGUUGCCGGUGUACCCGCCGGUGGAGAACACCACCGCGGGGACGCGGUGGACGACGUCGCAGCGGUUGGCGGCGGCGACGGUGCGGAGGCUGAGCUCGUCGAUGGUGCUCAUGACGCUGGCCUCCCACUUGCGAGUGUAGGGCCUGAUCUUCUCGUCGACGGUCGAAUUGGAAGGAGAAGAAGAAGGAGAUAGGAGGAAGAUGGAGUUGGAGGCAGCGUGGGUGCGGACGUCGCCGCGCAUGAAGCAGACAUCGGUGCGGAACGCCGUGCGGUCGCAGCAGAUGCUGUCGUUCCUGACGGUCGAGCACGGCGCGGCCCAGCUCUGGUCGUCUUCCCGCGGCCGCAUUCGGAAUUCUACGUCGUCUGCUCCGAAGGUGUCUGCGCACAACAAAGCAGUUAUAUUAAAUCAUAACAAUUUGCACGUGUGAUGCGUACUUUGACCACUACAACUACAACUCGGUCACGAUACGAUUGCUUUGUAUGAAAAUUUCAAUCACCGUAAAACUUUUACGGUGUUUUAAUCAUUUAUACUCGGACGGCGGAAGGAGAGAGAAAGAAAGAGAGAGAGAGAGCUUACAAAAGAAGACGCGAGGGGCGAAGAGGAGGGUGCAGGAGAUGAGGGAGAAGAGGAAGAGGAGGCGGAGGAAGGCGGUGUUCGACACCCUCGACCGGUGGUGGCCCACGAAAUACGCGUAAUCCAUCAGGUGGCGCAGGCGAUGAGCCUGCUCCACCGGAGGAUCUUGAAUUUGAUGCUUCUGUUUCUGCUGCUGCUGCUGCUGCUCCUCCAAAUCCUCUUUCCUAUGCGGCUGCACAUGAUAAUUCCUAUGAUGGUGCACCAUCUCUCUUAACUUACUAUUAUUCCUUUCUCCUCCCAAGAAGCCUCUUUUUAUUCCACAAGCACUUUUGCUCCAGUGGCUUAUGUAAUUGUGCUGCACCAAAAAGAAGAAGAGAGAGAGUAUAGAGGAGGGAAAGGAUAGUAAUAGAAGAAAGAGAGUAGGGGGAGAGUUUUUUAUAUAUAUUUUUAUAUAUGAUUUAGGGGGGAAUUGGAUGGAGUAGAGGAAGAGGAGAGGAAGCGGGGGAGGGAAAGAAACCGUGUUUAUUUUCUUUGGUAUUAAAUGUCUCUCCGAAGGUUCUUUAAUUUGGGGAGUGAAGAAGCUAUUUUCUUGGACCCGGUCUAUGGACCCAAAGCAUGAACAGCUAGCACUUAGUAAGCUAUUUUCUUAGAGAGCCGCCUAAUGUUAUUUUUUUGAGAGAUAGGUAGCACGCUACUCGUUUCGUUUAUUUUAUUUAUAAAUAAACUUCACUAGAAAUGUAAAUCAACUAUAAUUCAAACUUGAGAUCUCGGGUACCAACUGCCAAUCCCUUUAUCACUUGCUCUAGAAACGGUCGGUAGAGCCGCCUAAUAUUUUGGUGGCUAAUUUAGCAAACGAAUAUCAAUGGAUCAGAGUCUCUAGUUCAUCUGAAAAGUGCACUAAUAAAAUAAAAUAAAAUAAAUUUAAUCUUAGUUAUUUAUUACUCUCUCUAAAUAGAGAGGUAGUAGUAAUAGUGGUAUAUAUUGUAGCGUGAUAAAUUCCUGAGUGAUAGUUUUUUUUUUUAAGAGAGAUAGGUAGCACACUACCCGUUUCGUUUAUUUUAUUUAGAAAUAAAUUUAGCUGGAAACAUGAAUUAGCUAGGAUUCGAACUUGAAUCUCGGAUACCAACCAUCAAGCUCUUUGCCACUUGCUCUAAAGACGGUCGGUCCUGAGUAAUAGUUUAAAGUGAAAAAGGAUGAGUGAUAGUUUAAAGUGAAAAAAGAAUGACCGGAUGAUUGAAAUUGAGAUAUUGAAUAUUUAUUUUUUUCAGUAUUUCUUUUACCCGAAAUUAAUGUGUGCUUGGUCCCACUUACAAUUCUAUUUUGACAUACAAAUUAAUGUGAGUUUGGAUUAAUGAAAAGUCUAGAUGUCUUGCUUGGAGAAAAAGCAUCAGGAGAUUCUGAGAAAAAAAAAAAAGUUAAAUUGAGACUUAUUUCUAGAAGAGAAAUUGUAAAUGAUAUUUUAAUUUUUUUUCAGUAUUCAUAUUUUUUUCAACAUUAAACUAAAAAAAAAACUUCACACUACAUUAGAAUAAAAUAUUCUCAAUAAAACAAUUUUCAAUAAAUGUUUUUAUCUUUUACAAAAGUGACUUUUGGGCCAAUAUGUAAUUUCUCCUCAAUAGUUUCAACGGUCCAAUUUUUCAUACUUAUUUCUCUCUCAAAAAAAAAAAAAAGUUCAUACUAUUGCUAUUGCCGUCUAUAGAACGAGUCAAGACACACAAUAAAAACAUGGAUAAAAUUCAAAUACGAUCCAUGUGAUUUCGCACUUUCUCACUUUAAUAAUUUAUUGUUUAAAGUAUAUCAUUUUAGUACUUUGUCGUUUUAUUUUUUUAUUUUCGUUAGUCCCUUCGUUAACUUUUUAUUAAAUCAUAUAUUAAAAAGUUCAGAUACCCCGUCUAUAGUUUAUCAAAUAUUUACUUCAGUGCCUUUUUAUUUUAACUUUAUCACUAAUUUAACGAAAAAAAUUAGUAAAAGAGAUAACAAAAGAAUAAAAUAAAAUUACUGAGAACGAAAAUGAUACACUUUAUUAUUAAAUUAUAAAAUAUUAAAAUAAAAAAAAUGAAACGACGUGAAUGGUAUUUGAAAUUUUUUCCAAAAAAAACAUUGUUCGAAUUGGUGUGCGGGGUGUUGUUGGCGUGCGGUGUUGGGAAAAGUCAAGAGAGGUGGGUUUACCGGAAUUUGGGUUGCAAAGCUGGAUUGGGCGGCGUGGUUUUGGUCCCAAAAGGAGUUACACUUUUUUUUCUUUUUUUUUUCUUUUUUUCAAUAAUGGUCCCAAAAGGGGUUUGAGUGUUGGGUAAUGCAUACUCUAUAUGUUUAUUCCUUUAAAUUUUUUUUAGUGGCAAAAAUGUAUGGGUAGAGAUCCUAUUGUUGUAUUAUAAUAUUGUGACUUGGUUUCUGUGUAUUUUACUUAAAAAUUUUAUGUUUAUUUUUCAUUUGUCAUAAAGUUAAUUAUAAUUUUUUUAUCUUAAAAACUCAAUUCAGAUCGAGAAAUGAUAUUACAUAUGAUAUAACCCAUAAAUCUAUAUAAGUAGCUAAUAUUGUUUAUAGUUAAGCUGAAGAUUCAAAACCUUCUUUUUUUUUCCUAAAAAGAAAGGAGGGUUCCCAAGAACACUUAAACAUGUUUACAGAAUAAUUAUUUUAUGCUUCUUUAGAAAAUGAUCUACUAAUUUUAGUUUAUUUCAUAUAUAUAUAUAUAUAUAUUGGACUUCUGUGUUUGUAAAAGUACCAAAUUAUUGGUGCUUGAAAGUUUUAGUCCUUAGAUUAAGAAAUGUGUGAUUAGGAUGAUAAUGCUUCUCUAGAGUUGAAUAGGUAGAUGAUUAAAUUGUAUAAUCUAACGAAUAAAAAUGAUUAAGAAAUAAAUUUAGUGGCGAAAAACUUACAAACACGAAUUGUUUGAUGUUUUUACAAAUACUAUAGUCGGACUAUAUAUAUAUAUAUAUAUAGAGUCCGGCUACUAUACUAUCAAUAGUACCAAGCGUUUGGUACUAUUGAGUUUUCUACCAUUAGAUCUACCUGUUGAUCAUUUUCAUCCGUUAGAUUAUACUAUUAAACCAACCACCCACUCAACCCUAGGAGACCACUAUCAAUUUAACCGGGGACCACUAUCAUCCUAACCGCACAUUCUUUCAUCCAACGGCCGAAAACUCAAUAGUACCAAGAGCUUCGUACUAUUAAUAGUAUAGUAGCAUAAUUCUAUAUAUAUAUAUAUAUAUAUAUAUAUAUAUAAUCU
RNAcentral lists this long non-coding RNA (66667 nucleotides) under Ananas comosus (pineapple). RNAcentral's name for it is "long non-coding RNA (ACOM_LNC032319)". The record is from RNAcentral. Lineage: Eukaryota; Viridiplantae; Streptophyta; Magnoliopsida; Poales; Bromeliaceae.